RNAcentral lists this long non-coding RNA (47452 nucleotides) under Daucus carota (carrot). RNAcentral's name for it is "long non-coding RNA (DCAR_LNC000860)". Lineage: Eukaryota; Viridiplantae; Streptophyta; Magnoliopsida; Apiales; Apiaceae. The record is from RNAcentral.
UGCGGACAUCCCUUGUCGAAAAAGUGUGAAUCUUAUGUUAGGACACAAGAAGAAGAUGACGAAGAUGAGGAUGAAUGUCACUUUUUCUGUGGUUUUACUUGGGAAGCGGUGGUGAUUGGAUAUGGGUGUGGAGUGGUGCCUGCAUUUAUCACUGGCUACCUGAUGUUGCUGGCACGGAAACCAAAAUGGUUUGCUGGAAUCAUUGGCAGGGAAUUGGGGCUCAAGAUCAGGAGGAUGGAGAUUAGAAUGCGAUACUAAAGGUUUGCUGUAAUCUGUAUCCCAUUCCCAGGUCUUGAAAAUUCUGUAAUAAUAUAUAGUAAUAUCUGCUCUCAUAUAAUUCUAUAUUUGCAGAUUCAGAUGGGACAAGCAGGAUCAGAUGCAUUGGAAUCAACCACUAGUACUUCAGCUGUUUUGUCAUUCUAAAUUUUACAUUUUACAAUAAAAGUCAAAAGAUACAAGUUAUGUAGUAUUGUUUUGUUCCAGCCUCAGGCUCUUCAUUUCUAAAACAUGUUUGCGGAUGCUUUACAAUGUACAAUUUACAAUAUAUCAAAGUUUUUAAUAUACACUACCAGAACUGGGUUACAUUGCAGUGUUGUCGCCAUUUUUCUGAAUUUCACUAGUUGGGAAGACUGUAUAAAUUAUGUUAGAGUCGCUGCUAUCAGUGAUCGCGUUCAACAACUUAUCUCAAACUGGUAAGAUUUACUAAAUUUUUAAUUUCACAAGCUGUUGAUAGAAUAGAAGAUGCCUCAGUUUAAGGAUCGAGAAUGUAUUAAUGAACUGUCCCAGCCCUGAGAAAUUCUCUUUGAUGGGGCUGCAGUUUCAAUAAAUCGCCUCUUGUACUCAGCCAUCAUACAGUGAACCACCGUCCGAUGGUCGAAAUUGGCGAAGCAUGAUGGCUUUAAAUCAGCCCAUAACCUGAUGGGGUGGCAUUUCUGUUCCCCAUUAGUACCAAUGCAGGGUGUCCCCUUCCAAAGCUACUCUGCAACAAUUUCCAACAUCUCGUAUUCACUUAACCCGUUCAGUAGACAACAAGGUUAGGAGCAAGAAUGAGUCGGUGUCUGGACAUGAGAUUAGGAAUACUAUUACCUCUGACUUCUGAGGCCCGUGACAGAUCGAAGAGGCAUGAAAGUUGGGGACAGGGGACGGCUGGUGCAUUGGAAUGAAAGUAAAAAACUUUUUCAGAGCCUGAUGCUCUCAAGGAUGCAGUCUAAUGAACAAGCGUAAUGAUGUCAUGUUAACUGUCAACCACCUAGUCAAAAUUACUUGAAAUGAUGAAAUUUAUGACAGUAAAUUUAUGAUGCUCUGAGUUUGUUGAUCAACCAAGCUAUGUUGUAGGCAGCUCUUAUCUGAUCUGCAAUCAAGUUAAUGAACCACUACCUCAGUUCAACAUUUUACAUUUUACAGCUCAGAAUAAAAGAUUACAUGUGUAUUAAUCUGAUCAUCAUUUGUUUGAUCAAUUUAGAAGUUCGGCUUUGUUUACUUCUAUCCCGGGCUCUUCAUUUCUAGAGCAUAUUUGUUGAUACUUUUUAUUGAACGGUUAAGAAUAUACCAUAGAUUUUUAUAUUCGGCGUAGAUGAUUUUAUGUCCUGAUUUCAUUCCAUUCAUGAACUAAUUAAAAAUUUGAAAGUGGGUCAUAUCUGGCAGUGAUGCCAGCCCUUCCUGACCUGCAUUUCAUGACCACAAACUCCAAUUCUGCCCAAAAAUUGCAGCUGUUUCGUAAUAUUUUUCUACGUGCUCUUUUGUUUGGACUUGUUUGCUGGACCAUGCAUAUGUUUUGAUACAUCUUUGUUGAUGUUAACACUCUUGUGUCAGUUACUGGACUCAUUGUUAGUAGCCCAUUCUUUACGGCAGACAUUGAAUUGGAUUUACUUGAAGAAAUGAAGGAUUAAGAAAGUUCAGAACAAUUUGUUGAUUAUUUCCUUCCCUAGAAACUGCACUCCAGCAUCAAAGUACCUUUCAAAGACUCCAGACAUCAUCUCUUGAUUAUCAAAGACUUGGUCUUGCAUAUACUGAUAUACCGUGAAUAUAGGUUUCUUUCAUUUCCUUGAAAUUGCAUUUUUUGAAGUAGCUUUCCAGACUCAUUCCCGUCACUUCUCAAAGUCUUAUUCCCCAUCAAUACAUACACAUAAUAUCACACCAAUUUGCUCAUGCUCAGAUGGGCUUUUCUUACAAACCACACAUGUUCACUUCUCAUAGUCUUAGUCCUCGUUAAUAUAUACAGAUAAUAUCCCACCAAUUUGCUGGUGCUACAAAUGGGCUUCUCCUACAAGUCUACAACUACACAUAAUCGGAGAAAAGUCUGUCAAAUGGAUCUUGAAAGACCCUUCUGCAUUGAUUAUCAAAGUAUAUUAUCUGUUAACAUAAAUGUAUUUUAUCAAAGUACUCUCUAAAUAAAAACUAGUAAUAGCAGUUACACAGUAAAAAUUUUUCCUCAAACAAUUACCACCUCAAAUGAGAUAGGCAACCUUAGAUUCUCCAAAAGUGCUUAUAUUGCAACCCUUGUGUAAUGACUAAUAACAGUCAUGAUUAGUAGACAGACCAUAAUUGCGAUGGUUCGAACUUUUUUACUUGAGCUGGAGAGAAGACUUUGAACUGCAGUGUUAGCUAGGAGUUUUUGCACCGUUCCUUUCCCUGUCUUGAAAUUGCAUUUCAGCUCCAAAAGUAGAUUUCAGAGACUGAUUCAUGCCAUCUUUUAAUUUUCAAUGGCAUAGUCGCGAUGACACUCUCACUUCUCACAUUGGAAAACUUUUACCAACACAAUGAAAUUUAUAAGAGUAAAAUGCAAAGCGGUGGUUAAAUUUAUAAGAGUUCUAUCGAAGUCUAGUUUACCUAAAUAACUGCAAAAUGGUUAGGGUUGUUCACGAACCGAGCCGAGCCGAGUUUUGACCGAACCGAGCCAAGCUUUAAUUUUUUUUCUGACGAGCCGAGCCGGGCCGAGCUUUUUUAUCGAACAAAAUUUGUGUUCAAGCUCGGCUCGUUAACUAACGAGCCGAACACGAGCUUGUUCGCGAACAAAUACAAGCCGAACCGAGUAGAAUCGAGUCGAGCCGAGCCAGAAAAAAAAUAAGAACAAACCGCUAGUUGACUCUUAAAAUAGCUAACCAAAUAAUUUUAUUUUUUUUUAAACUUUGUUUAUAUCACUAAAAUGUAUAUAUGUUAACAUCCAUACGGUUGGAUCGGUAAGAAAUAUUUUUUAAAAUAUUGAAACACUAAAUUAGGAUUAAACACUAGUUAGCAGUACUAUUUAACCUUCUACUUGACUGUUAAAAUAGCAAACCAUAUAAAAUUAUUAUUUUCCGAAAUUUUGGUUACAUCACUGAAAUAUAUAUAUAUUAAUUAUAUGUUGAAUUCUGAGUUCAAUAACAUAUAUAAAUUAUAAAAAAAACCCCGAAAAUAUUACAUUUUUUCGAGCUUUAACGAGCCGAGCUCGAGCCGAGCGAGCUCGAGUCGAGCUCGAGCCGAGCUCGAGCCGAACAUACUAAAAGCUCGGCUCGAGCUCGUUUACUUAACGAACAAUUUUUUGUGUUCGUCCUCGAGCUCGUUAACUUAACGAGCCGAGCCGAACGAGCUCUUAACGAGCCGAGCUCGAGCUUGUUCGCGAACAGCUCGGUUCGUUAAGCAGCCCUAAAAAUGGUGAAACAAACUAGGGCUUAGAAAAUGGUACAAUUUGCGGUUUUGUAUCUAUUGGGCAUCUAUUUUGGUGUGCUAGUCAACUUGUAUGGUUCUUAAAGUUUACAACUUGAAACAGUUAAUAUCAAAUGUCAAAGUGAAAAUAUGUGUAGUUUUAACUUCACAAUAUUUUCUUGGUGCGGGCUAUGUAAGUUAUCUUUUACAUGGUGAAUCAAGUUAUGAUACUCAGAAUCAAUUAUGUUUCACUUUCGUAUUUUCCACCUGGUCGUAAGAUUUGUAGUUUUCCUUCGCUAUUGUAAAGGUUGUGUUCUAUUAAGGGUGAUAUAUGCGCACCCUAAAUUAAUUUAUGCACACUUUACCUUCUGUUUCAUAUCAAAUUACCCUUGUCUUUUAUCAUUUCAACCAAAUAUUUUAUUAAUUCAAAGGGGUAAUUUAGUACAAACUAGAUGAAAGGUGUGCAUAAAUAAAUUUAGGGUGUGCAUAAAUCAGCACCCAAUGUAUUUAGUGAUUCCACUGAUGAUAAUGUUAAGCAAUUAACAGGUAUUAAAAUGCUUUCAUUAUAAUGCAACUUUAUACUCCCUUUAUCCCAUUUUAACUGAGGUAAAAAAAACAAUAUCUACACCCAUUAAAAAAAAUUCAAUUUUUAUAUCAAAUAAAAGUUUAGAUUCUAAAAUUUUAAUUGAUGAUAUAAAUUUUAUAAACAAUAAUUAUGUUUAUAUGUGAUUUUCUUAACAUUUCAAAAUACAUGUAAAAAGGUCAAAAGUAGUUAAAAUGGGACGGAGGGAGUAUAUUUUUAUUCAAACUCGAGUCUCCCGUGAGUGGAGCUCUUAAUAUCAUGCGAAGUUAAUAUUCUCCUAAAAUCUCAAAAUGUUAGAUAGAAUGACUUAUAAAAAAAUUGAAGAAAAGUGGAGUUUUAUUAUAAGUUUUAUCCGUGUUACAUACUUACAUUGAAUAUCUGGUAGUAACGCAAAAAAUUUGGUCUCCUCUAUGUAUUUUUGCUGGCUUGGUCGAAUCAGUUGGAUUGCUGGUAUUUGAAUAAUCUAAUUUUUUCAGAAAUAAGAAUUUAUUUCUUGAGAAAAGUACAUAAAACUACUAUACUUUUUUGGUCUCCUCUAUGUAUUGUUUUAUUUUAUAAGUCGUUUAAGGUAUUUUCACACAUAUUAAAAAACUUCAUUGUUGCAUAAAAAAGUAUUUAUUAGUCAUUUCUUUUUCAUUAUUAUCCUCAUUUAAUGUCUCUUUUCUCUCUUUUUCUAUUGACUCAUAAUAUUAAAUAAGGGUGAUAAAAGUCAUUAGAUAAUUUAAAUUAUUCUUGAAAAAAAAAAAAGAACGACCUAUAUUUAUGAAUAAUAAUAUUUUCUAAAAUGAACUAUAAAAAAACAGAUGGAGUACUGUAUAUCAAGUGGAGAAGCAAGACUAAAGUGCAGUACUCCUAAGCCCACAUUGUACGGCGGUAGUACAUUUGAUUUUAUUCGGGGAAAACCAUGUUUAUGGAUUAUCUCAUCUGAAAGACCCUAUCCAUCAUCUUCCGAUUCUCAGAGUCUUGGCCUUCCAUUCCAUGCACUGCUCUGCACGUGCUUCUGUUUGAGAUCAAAAUCACCUGCCUUAAAAAAUUUGUUUCUUUUGUAGUCUAAUCUCUGUCCCAAUCAAAUAUAUACCUUAACUGUGCACGUAUUUUGAGAUUUUAAUAAAAUUUUGUUGUAAAAUACUUUUUAAAAUUUUUUUUUUUGAAUAAAAAUUUAAACCUCAAAUUUUUAUUCAGUUAAGGAAAAUUUUAAAUAAUGUUUUGUAAUUAUACUUUAACGAAGCCUUAAAAAAUAUACCAAAAAACAGCGUAUACAAUUCAUCAGACGAGCAACCGCCAACAAGAAACACCACCGACAAUAAUAAACAAGAUUAGAAUGCAUAAUAUUCUGCAUUGGUCGAUAACUAUCAUUAUUAAUUUCUUCCUGCUGCACCACCGACAAUAAUAAACAAGAUUAGAAUGCAUAAUAUUCUGCAUUGAUCGAUAACUAUCAUUAUUAAUUUCUUCCUGCUGAGAAUUGAAACCACGCCCUCUGGCAAUUCCAAAAUGUUCCCUUUUAUAUUUAGCAAAAAAUAAUGAAUGGUGCUCCCAUUUUUUGACUAACCCAAAAACUCGAUGAUGGGCAAAAAUUGCACUAAUAUUAGAAUGAUGGUGUUUAGACAAGUUCUUCAUUUCAAAUUUUAAAUAUUGAAAUAAUUAGAAAUAUAAUAUAUAACUAUAUGACAAACACUCUAAUUCAGCAAGAAUCUUAUUUUUUGUAUCAAUUUUUCAAUAAUUUCAGGUGAAUGGUAAUUUAAUAUAUAAUCAAAUUUUAAAUAUUGUAUAGUUUUUGUUUUAUAUUUUAAUAAAUUUCAUAAUAGUGAGGAUAUGAGUACAUAUAUACAUCAACAGAAGGGUCGUUUGGGUAAACUUUAAAAAAGUGACUUCUUUCUUCAAAUAAAAAUGUGCACUAUAUUCCGUCAAAAAAAAUGUGCAGCAUUAGUAAGAGGUAAGUCUAGACUUAAAAGUGAUUAAAAUUUUUUAAGGAAAAGUAGAAGUUCUGAAAAUAAAAGUUAGAAAUUUUGGCUUCUUACAGGUGUUUCUGACUUUUUACAAAAUUAUAAGCCGACUUUCUUAGAAAAAGAAGGCGGAAGCUGGGGCAGCCAAACAAACACAUGAUAUGACUUGAUAUACAAAAAAAUUACAUUUAAAUUACGUUUAUAACACAAAUAAUCUCAAUUUAAAAAUGAUGAACAAAGAGAUAUGAGAUAUAUUGAAAAAUAAUUGAAAGCAACCCGUGUUUUGCACGGGUUAAAAAGCUAGUUCUAAUUAAAGGGAAAAAAGCCAUCGACUAAAAUUGAACACGGAUGGGAAUUAUAAGAAGCAUAAGCAAACAAACUUUUCUCUACAAUAAAAGGUGAUGGGUUGAAGUCAAGAAAACACCGAUUCAUCUUUGUACAAAGUUAAAAAUACUAACGGCUCUUUGCUUAUAGCACUACAAGAAAACUCAUUUUAAUGACAGAAAUUCUGUUAACAUGAUAAGGAUUUUCGUUGGUAAAUCACCGCCAAGGGAAUGAUAAUGAAAAUAAUUGGUUGGCAUAUAGUUGAUCGGGAAGUUCAUGCUAACGGAACAAAUUCGUUGCUAAAUUGGUUUCUUUUGAUAAAAGAUGAUGGGUUGAAGUCAAGAAAACAAACACAACACUUUUACAGAAAGUUAAAAAUACUAACCGCUCUGUGCUUAAAGAGUGGCAUAAGUAAGCAGUUCUCCGUGUGCUAGAAAUUCCUUCAUUUCUUGCUCUUCUAAGCCAACAACAGCUCUAAUACCAUCAUUCGCGGUAUCCAUCAGAGUGAUGACAUCAACCAUCGGAGUGUCCACAAGCACAGCUUUAACCGGCUUUCCCCACCCGAAAUCCAUGAUAUCAUAUAGCGGGAAAUUACACAUGCUUGUAAUAACGUAGAACCUGUACUUGUGUUUUGUGAACUCAAGAAACUCAGUCUCCAUUUCGUGUCCUUCCAUACUCUUGAUUCCUUUUAGCUGUUCCCUCUCUUUCCUCAUUCGUGCUACCAACGUUCUGUACUUUUUGUCCGCCUCUGUGGUCGCUACAAUGUGGUUUAGAAUCUGGAAAUUCCCCACAGUUGUUUCUUGCAGUGGCGGAUCAAUCAUAUGCCUCACAUUGACAGCCCGCAUUAAAACGGAUCCAUUAUGCACUCCAGCAUUAGUCCUAUCUGCCACGCUUACAAGACAUCUGUAAAGGAGUGCAGUCAGAAGCUCGUUGCGGGUGUAUUUUUGAUCUUCCACUACUCCAUCCAGCUUAUCCUCGUUAUUCACCACAAUCUUCAGUUCUGCUAGCUUUGUGUUGGGAAACACUAAUUCCUUCGUCGUCCAAUUCUUAUCUGGAAAUAUGAUGGUUUCGAUGGCAUUAAUAUCAUAGGAUAGAGGCAGCAGAGCAUUCACCAGAACGGGACAGAGAUGUAACAGUUUUCGGUGAUCACCAGAAUGGAGUGACAGAGUGGCCCAAUACCUUAAAAGUGUGCAGGUAGUCAGAGCAUCACCCAGAAGGUGAGAAAGGCAAAAAAUUGCUGACGAAAAAAUGUACAAACUAGUAAAAAAUGAAAAUCACUUCUGGUAGUAAAAAAAGUCUAAACUAGAACCUAGUUCAGCCCAAUAUUUUAGCAUUAGUUUUAACUGCAAAAAUCACUAAUUUGUACAUUAUUAAUGAUUAAUUUUUAAAUAGAAAUAUCACAAAUAAAUAAAUAAAUAAAUAUAAUUAAAAAAUUAAAAAAAUCAUCAAUUUUCACCAAAAAGUCGUAUUUUCCCAACUAGUUCUACCAUGGAACCAUAUAUAUUUGUCCAAAGUGAUUUACUGUUCAAUAUCAAGUCUAAAAAAAUACACAUAAAACACUACCUUAAAAGUGUGCAGGUAGUAAGAGCAUCCCCAAGAAGGUGAGAAAUGCUAACUGCUACAGCCAUCCCUCCACAAUCGAAACGGUUGAGUUGCACAUACAUUAUAUUACCCGAAUGCUUCUCAGAAAACUGAUUCCGAAUUGUGCAAGGUGGAAACAGAUGGCCUAAUCCGUCUUCUUCCUUGACUGCAGCUCUAUCCUGAACCUCCGACAUAUUGCAUCCGAUUUGAGCCUCGAUAAAUUGAACGCCUUCAUCGUUACAAUCGACGUACGAUCCAGAGCAUAUCCUUCCUGCAAAUGGAUAGUACUUGGACAGUGUCUCCGACAAAGACUUCUUCAGUAGAUCUGAUGCAUUAUCAGGGACCCGUUCACGAAUGGGAUCAGAGUUGUUUUUGGGAUAGAAAAAAAUCAGUGGAAUAUAAAAAUUUGGAACCAUGCGAUCAUGUAAAGGAAUAUUGUAUCGUUUGAGGUUCGAGGGAGUUGGAGAAGCUGGUUUAAUGCUGCAGGAAGAUCUUGAGAUUACAUGCAGCUGCCUUCUAAAUACUAAUGACAACCUCAUCAAUCCUUUAAACGUCAUUUUUAACUUGCCAAACCAAACUUUGAUGUGUAUAUCAGAUAUGAGCUGGUUUAAUUGGGGUAUUUAUACAGAUUUAUAAGAGAAGAUUACAGCCCAUGCCAAAAGACUUGGCGGUUGAAGCUGGUGAGAUGAUAUAACUCCUGAUUAACCGGAAAUCAGGGAUUAAUCGUAAGGAUUAAUCAGAGUGAAAAUCGGUUUUAUUUUGAAUAUUAAAAUAUUAUUUUUAAUAUUUAUUUAUUACUAUAUUAAUUAUUUAAUAAUAAAUAUAUUUAAUAUAUCAUAAAUUUUAUAAUUGUUCAUAUUUAAAGUAAAUAAGUAGUAUUCAAUUUUAAUAAUUUAUUAUAUAUAUAUACUUCGCUUGAGAAAAAUUUAUACGGAUUAAUCGAAUUUUAAAAAUCGAAUCAAUCGGCCAUCUUGCAGGAGAUUAAUUGGGAAUUCAUCGAUAAAAUCAAUAAUUUUUAAAACACUGCCGGCAACUGUAAGUAUAAAAAAUAGGAAUAAACAAAGAGCACUGGGAACCACAUGCAAGUGAUUGUUUACUGCUGGUUCUACCGGUCUCUGCCAAAAACUCUGAUAAAUACCAGACAAAACUACCAGUCUCCCUUGCAUAAAAUAUCUAAGCUACAUAGGAAUCUUUUUAUGUCUAUGCUACAAGACAUUUUUUAUGACUUGGAUCCCAUUUCAUUUGUGGCAUUGCAGCAGUUCAUUCUUUAUUUCCUGAAUUUUCUCUAUAAUCUUUACCUCAUGCCUCUUAAUUUUUAUUCAAGAUAAUUUUUUUUGCAAAUUACUGUGGUUCUGCUUUUCUUAUCUUUUCUUCUUUUGGCUUUGCUGGUACUUUUCCUUUGCCAGUUUAAUUUUACCUUCAACUUUGAGAAAUAAAUGUAUUUAGUGAUUUCACUGAUGAUAAUGUUAAGCAAUAGGGUUCAAAAUGCUUUCAUUAUAAUGCUACUUUAUUUAUUUAUAUUCAAACUCGAGUCUCCAGCAAGGGGAGCUCUUAAUACCAUGUGAAGUUAAUAUUCUCCUAAAAUCUCAAUAUGUUAGAAAGAGUAAUUUUUUAUUAAAAAAAUUGAAGAAAAGUAGAGUUUUAUUAUAAAUUUUAUACGUGUUACAUUGAAUAUUUAAAAGUAAAGCAAAAAAUUUGGUCUCCGCUAUGUAUAUUUGCUGGCUUCGUCGAAUCAGUUGGAUCGCUGGUAUUGGUGAGAGCGUGAGACAUUAAAGGGAGAUGGGCUGAUCAGAUCAGCUUGGUUGAUAAUGUCUAAAUCCAAUUCCUUAACAAGGAAUUGAUUUUACUCAUGAAAAAAGAGUGAUUAAAAAAAAAGUUUGCAGAAAGUCAAGACUCAAACCCCAUUCUUAUCAAGUCUUCCACUACUCUAUGCACAAUUCAAAAUACACAAAGACCAACCAAAAAGUUCUUGGAAGUAAUCAAAUAAAUGAUACUCUCCAAGUUCUUGUUCUCAAAUCAAACAAGUUUUAUGGUCUUAUAAACACGAGUUCCAAGAUUGUACACCCAUUUCCUAGCUUGACUGCUUGAGAAUCAUUGAUCUUUCGUACAAUGAGUUUUCAGGUGCACUGCCAGAAGAAUAUUUCAGAAACUUUAAGGCUAUGAUGAAUGCGGAAGUGAAUAAGAUAUAUCGUAGCUAUAUGGAGCAAGAUUAUUACACUGAUUCCACAGCUCUAGUGAUUAAAGGCAUGGAAAUUAAUUUAAAAAGAAUAUUGACUGUGUUCACAACUAUUGAUGUAUCAAAAAACAAUUUUGAUGGGGAGAUAGCUGAAUACUUUGGAAAUCUGGUAUCACUCAGAUUUCUUAAUCUUUCUCACAAUUAUCUCACAGGCCAUAUACCACGCUCGAUUGGAAAAUUGACUGUGCUGGAGUCACUAGGCCUCUCAUCCAACCAACUUGAAGGAGAAAUUCCUCAGCAGCUCACUAGUGUAUAUUCACUUGCAGUUCUCAAUCUGUCUUGCAACCAACUUAGAGGACGUAUUCCAGAAGGGUGGCAAUUCGAUACGUUUGAAAACAGCAGCUACGCUGGUAACUUUGGGCUGUGCGGACAUCCCUUGUCGAACAAGUGUGAAUCUUAUGUUAGGACACAAAAAGAAGACGAAGAAGAUGAGGAUGAAUGUCACUUUUUCUGUGGUUUUACUUGGGAAGCAGUGGUGAUUGGAUAUGGGUGUGGAGUGGUGCCUGCAUUUAUCACUGGGUUACUGAUGUUGCUGGCACGGAAGCCAAAAUGGUUCGAUGGAAUCAUUGGCAGGGAAUUGGGGCUCAAGAUCAGGAGGAUGGAGAUUAGAAUGCGAUACUAAAGGUUUGCUGUAAUCUGUAUCCCAUUCCCAGGUCUUGAAUAUUCUGUAAUAAUAUAGUAAUAUGUGCUCUCAUAUAAUUCUAUAUUUGCAGAUUGGAGAGGCAUGAACAUUUUGGCAUGUAAGUUGAUGGGACAAGCAGGUUUCAGAUUCAUUGGAAUCAACCACUACUUCAGCUGUUUUGCAUCUUUUGUGAUUUUAAAUUUUACAUUUUACAAUAAAAGUAAAAAAGAUACAAGCUCCAUGGACAAGUUUUGUAUUGUGUAGUUCCAGCCUCAGGCUGAUGGUUUAUAAUGUACAAUUUACAAUAUAUCACAAUUUGUAAUAUACAGUACCAGAUGAUUUUAUGGCCAAAUUAUCCUUAAUCGCUUUCAUGAACUAAUGGAAAUUUGUAAAAGCGGGUCACAUUUGCAGUGAUGCCGCUAUUUUUCCUGAAUAUUCCUAGUUCUGAAGAUUGUCUAAAUCAUGUUAGUAGCUGCCAUCAGUGAAUGCAUUCAACGGCUUACUGAAACUGGUAGAGAUACUAAAUUCACAAGUUAUUGAUAGAAUAGAAGAUGACAGAGUGUCCAUGCGUCAGUUUAAGGAUCGAGAUGUGUAGCCGUGACUUGUAUUUUAAAAUUGCACAAGAUGCUUUACAAUGGUAGCAGAGGGCUGCGGAUUUAUUGGGUUAGUUGGAAGCACUCAAGUCGAAUUGGUUGUAGCAGAGCAAGAAGCUGAGCACGACCAUAAGAAUUUGAACUCUGAGGCUAAUUUGACUCUACUUGUAAGCCUUCCACUAGACAGCAAGGUUAGGAGAAAGAUUGAGUCGAUGUAAGCCUUCCUCUGACGCCUGUGACAGAUCAAUGAGGCAUGAAAGUUGGGAACAGGGGACGAUUGGCGUAUUGGAAUGGAAGUGGAAAACUUCUUCAGAGCCUGAUGCUCUCGGAGAUACAAUCUAAUGAAAAAGCGUAAUGAUGAUCAUGACUCCGCCCUUGCUCUAAAUCAGUAAGAUCAACCUCUCUACACAAUUCACUAAUACCACCUCUUUAUAACAUUCUCACUCCUAGGUGAUGAAUAAAGUAUCAAGAAACAUAUUUUGUAUAAUGAAUUAUAUUUUUUAUUAUAUUCCUUUUUUUAAAAUAUAUUGCGUAUUACACUGUUUAUUAAUUCUAUUUGAAGCAAUUAAUUAAUUUUUAGCCGUAAUUUAACUUUCAAGGUAGCAUUAUCAGCAUGAGGAAUAGGCAGAGCUUCCAGAUGCUCUCUUCUGAUAGAUAUCAUUCAGCACUUGCUCUGAGUUUGUUGAUCAACCACGCGAUGUUGUAGGCAGCUCCUAUCUUAUCUGCAAUCAAGUUAAUGAACCACUACCUCAGUUGUUAAGCAUCUUUCAACAUUUCACAUUUUUGAGCAUUUAAUUAAUUAGUCAUCAGUCUUGUAUUUAGCUUGAUCGAACAUAAUUGUUCUCUUCAAUUUCUUUGCCUACUUGUCGACGUGUUUAUGUAGCGUGUCUCUACUCUGUAGCUUACACAUCAUUGAUUCAUGUUAUUUUCCCCUUAGGAACUUGAGAGACAUUUGGCAUCAAAAGAAGCUUCUCUCCCGCAAGAACCAUUUUCCCCUUAUGAACAUUUGACAUUUUGGUGUUGCUGAGAGCGCAGCGACUUUUGAUGAACUCGGCCUGUCUGGCAGACAGGAGGCCUUGUUUCUGGAGUUAAUAUAGCGGAUCUCGAAGAGUUUACCCAGAUGGACCAACUUUGUUUGUUAGUUGGAUGUAAAAGUUGUUUAGAGACGGGUAUUUUGUCGAAGUUUGUAUCUAUUGGGUAUUUCGUCUUUUAGUCAGACUAUGGCUCAUACAGUUUCAUACAGUUUGAAGUUGAUAUCAAAUCUUAGAUUAAAUUACUGAACAUUGUUUCUUGAAUUCGAUAUCGAAUUUUAAACGAAAAUAUGUUCAGUUCUAAUUUAAAAGUUAUGCAAAUUACAUUAAUAAUAUGUGGCCCUGUUUGUUUACCAAAAGCAGAAGCUGCUUCUGGCUUCUGCUUUUCUUGACCCGUUUGUGUAAAGAAGCAGAAGCACUUUUAAUAAACUGAGAAUCCUAACUUCUCUCUCACAGCUUCGGCUUCUUUUCCAAACACUUUAUUCACUUAUUUACUUCUCACUUCUGCUCCACUUCUCUAGUUUAAGCAAGAAGUCACUUCUUUUAAGCUUGCCCAAACGGCCCCAUAAUCUAUUUUGAGUCUCUUGGUCUUCGGUCUUCUAUUGCAGCAUAUCAUGCACAUCUCAAAUGAUUGAAAAUGAACUCUCUCCAAAAGACAAGGGGGUCUGUUGAAGUAGACCUGGAAUUGAUUUUACUUGAAGAAACAAUAAUAGGUCACCUUUUAAAGUUUUGGUCUUUGUCUUUUAUCUCUUAAAGUCUUUGUCGUUUACAUCUCAUACAAUUUGCUAUCGUAUUUAACACUUCACACAAUUCCAUGCUAUCGUAUUGAACACUUCACACAAUUCCAUAAUAUUGAAGAUUUUUGGCUUGAAAUAUUCUAGAGAAUAAGGUUGUACAUAAAAUUCAAUAAUUUAUUUCCUUUCCUUCAAUAUUACAACUCAUAUAUUUGUUGCCAAUGACUCAUUCAAUUCGCAUCAAUUAUUAUCAUCUUCACUUUAUCAAAGAGUCUUGCUCUUCGUCCUUUACAUGCUUUUAUUACGAUCCCCAUGUGCUUUGAAAAUACUUGUGUUAUAGUCCACAUCAAUCAAUACUCCUUAUUAAUAAGCGAAACCACAUUUCAGUGGAACAUCGGUACUAAAAGUACCAAAUUUGAUCAUCUUAUAUCAUAUUUAAUUAUUAUUAUUAUUAUACUCCUAUUAAAAGUAUUAUAUUAUCCUUAGGAGAUUUAUAUUGGUCAGGAAUUUAUAAUAUUUUAAGAUAUUAUAAUUAAAGACGACUUCUAUAAUUAUUAGGAUUUUAUAAUUAAUAUAAACUUCUUACUUAAUAAUGAUAAUCAUUAAACUAUUUUGAAAAAAUGUCGUAUUGGUUAGAAUUUUAUAAUUUUAUUAUAUUAUAAUGAAAAGACUUUCAUAUUUAUUAUGAUUUUAUAAGUAAAUACUUUAAUAUUGGUUAGGAUUUUAUAAUUAUCUUGAUAUUGAUUAGAAUUUUAUAAUUAAAGACUUCAAUGUUAUACUAUUAAAAAAAGAUUUCUAACGUUGUUAGGAUUUUGGAAUGCAACAGUUAUACCACCAAUAAAAUUAUUUAUUUUAAAUUCUUUAAACUCAAAUAAUUUAAUUUAUGAAACAACUCUGUAAAACUCCUAUCAUAUUUCAGCAUUCAAAUAAAUAAAGAUUUAUAUUGAUAUUACUUUUUAUUAAUAUGCCAUAUUUUUCUUUAGUGGAAGAACAUGAGUACCAAAUACCGAAUUAUCAAAAUUUGGUUAAUAUCAUGUAAUUUUAACAUUGUCGUACUCUUCACAAUAUAAUAAUAUUAUUAUAAUAACGGAAAGGGGGUGGUAGCACUAUCAUGAUAAAUGCAAAUUCCAAUGAGAAUAAAAUUACUGUGAAAAUUUUAUAAAUAAAUUAAUUUUAAAUUUAUUUAAUUUAUAAUCUCUAUUAUAGUUUUAUAUUAAUUUGAAAAAUAUCUAUUAAUAUUGAAUAUACAAGAACUUCAAUUAGUGUUACACUUAAUAAUAUUUAUUAGACGUCUAAAAUAACUAUGAACUAAAAAAAUUAAGUUUUAUUAAAAAUGGUUGAAUUUUUUUUCCAUCUAUUUAGAAUAAAAACAACAUAAUAAUUUUAUUAAAAUGAAACUUACCAUUUUAAAAUAAAUUCAUAUAAUAACAUAUAUCCUGAGAAUGUUUAUUUUGAAAAAUAAAACUUAAACAUAAUUAAAUAUUAAUAUGUUAAUGCAUAAUAAGUUUUGUAUCUCAACAAUAAUAAUUUAAAUAACUAUAUCAAAAAUAUUAUAAUUCCAAUAAAUAAUAAACUUAAAAAAUUUAUAUAAUCCCGUGCUUGGCACNCAAAAAUAUUAUAAUUCCAAUAAAUAAUAAACUUAAAAAAUUUAUAUAAUCCCGUGCUUGGCACGGGUUAUAGACUAGUAUUGAUAAAUAGACAAAUUACAAUAUUUAGUUCAUUAAUGAAGAGAUAAGACAUUCAUGUGUAUGUAUUUGAAAAAUAAAAUAUUAUGAAGCUAAAUGAAUAAACACUUCUGAAAAGUAAAACCCGUUUCUGGUCCAUUUUGUAGCUUGAAGAAAUGAAGCAGAAGUCAAGAUUUCCUUGAAGAAACAAAAUUUUAUAAAAGUUAAAAACAAUUCGAUAAUUAUUGUCUUUUUAAAAAACGGAGCACGCAACACUCUUUUAUAUCAUAUUUCAAUUCUUAGAGUCUUCCUUCUACUACUCCAAAAGUGGUUCUAUUAUAGGCCACAUAUUAAUAGAUCGAUACAAAUUUAUUAAAAAGAUCCUUAUUUUCAACAAUCAAUAUCAGUUUGACUACAAAUUUAUCUGAAAUGACCCUUGUUAAUGGACUCUAGCUUAUAGGGUCAAACUUGGCUAUACAUGCCUCGGAGAAAAUUCACCAGUUCGUAGAAGAGACCUUUCUGCUAUCAACUCUAUGAAAAAUGCAGCACUUAUCAUCUAAAUAAAAAUCAGUAAGACUAUCUUAGAUUCUCUGAAGUGUUUAUAUUGCAGCCGCUUGUAUUGAAUACACACAUAAAUAACCACACAUAAUCAGCAAGGUUCGAAUUUUUUUGGUUUAACCAUAUCACCAACAUGAAGAAAAGACUUUCAAGCGUCAUAAUAGCUAAGAGCUUUUAUUUUCAGGAUAACCCCGGUCUAGAUUAUUAUAAAAAACUUGUUUAUAUGGAGACAUAAUAAAGGUCCCAGAAUUUUUUACUCUUCAAGAUUUCCGUUUCUAGCCAAAUUUUUUGACCAUAAAUAAUAUAUUGGUUUUACCUGAAAACAAAAUUUAAAGAAAAUUCAAAUUUUUUUAUUACUUCUUUUCUUUUAUUAUUACUUCUUUUCUUUUAUUUUGAAAUUGCAAAACAGCUCAAAGUAGUUCUAAAAGAAUCAUUCUCCCCGCUAGAAUCAGUUACAAUUAAGGUUGACAAGAUGUUUUAGCUGCGAGUUCUUCAAAUUAUUGCUCGUAAGGUCCACGACAGCUUAGAUAGUCACCAAAACUUUGGCCUGUGGAUUAAGUUGAUGAAAUCUAGUGUAUUAGAAUCAAUGACAGCACUAUUUUAUGGGAUUGAUGCUCACUCUUCAUAUUAUGUGUUUUUCUAAUGUGUGUGUCCAAAUACACACAAUAAACACUAAAUUUGAUAAAAAAUCGUAAUAUUAGUCAUUCCGCUCAUAAAUUUCAAGUGGAGAAGAAAGAGUUUCUCAAAAAAAAGUGGAGAAGAAAGAGCAUCGUGAUUGUCAUUGUACCCUUAAAAUUUGUUCGAUUAGGUUUUUUACAUAGUUUGCGCGUGGUCAUCUGGGUAUGCCUUCAUUAUAUUAAGCCAAUCUAGUAAUUCCAUAUUAAACAAGUUUAAAAUUUUCAAAUUUUGAUCUUAAUAAAAUUGAAAAAAUAGUGAACUUUUUCUUAUUUAUGAUAUUAACAAAUCUCUUACUUUUUUAUUACUGUAUUCAACUAAAUAUUUUUUACAAACCCUCAUAAAUGCAUCACAUCAGUUAUGAAAUUUAAAACAAAUAUAUCCAAUUUCUUCGAGAAAGAUGGUUGUAUAAUUUUUAAUUAAAAAAUUUAAUUAUUUUUAUUUUUAACAUAAUUUACAACUAAAAAAAUAUUAUAUGUUCACUGCUUUGUAAUAUAAUUAAAUAUAUCUUAAAUACAGUUUUUCCUAUAUAUAUGCUAACCUCGAGAGACGUUGAAGAUCAUCCCAAACAAAAUUUGAAAGGGAAAAUGAAAAUGAGGAAUUGCAACCUCUGUUUUUUCACCAUCAGUAUGAUGCUCAUCUUCUUGCAGUUGCAGCACCACCUGGUGGCUUGUUCAUUAAGCCCCCACUUGCAGAAACUUGCCUUGUUCCACUUUAACCAAACCUUCACAAUCACUCCUGGGGAUUGCGAGUAUUAUUCCUACAAAGACGAAGAAUUUUACGAAAUUCCUUCACGGGCAAAGACAAAGAACUGGAGCAUGAGUUCUGAUCACUGCACAUGGGAUGGAGUUAGCUGCGACGACAAGACGGGGGACGUAAUUGGACUGGAUUUAACUUGCGGUCAGCUGGUAGGAGCCAUACACUCAAACAGCACUCUUUUCCAACUCUCUCAUCUUCGCUUCCUCGACCUUUCUUACAAUGACUUUUCCCUCUCCGAUCAGUUCCCUCAGGAAUUUGGCUUCUUUGCAAAAGGAUUGACGCAUCUCAACCUCUCUCGUACUGGAUUAUCAGGGAGAGUUACCUCAGGAAUCUCUCAUUUGCAUAAACUGGUCUCACUUGAUCUCAGUGAGAACUUUGAAGCUGAACUUGAAGCAGAAGUGUUUAAAUCACUAUUGCAGAAUUUAACGCAUCUCAGAGUGCUUAAUCUUCAUGAAGUUAACAUCCCAUCUGUUUUGCCGGUGAAUAUCUCUACUUCUCUAAGAGUUCUUCAAUUGUCGUAUACUCAUAUACACGGAGUAGUACCGCAAGAAGUUUUCCACCUUCCCAACUUGGAAUUACUUGAUUUAUCAAAUAAUCACGACCUGAGAGCUACAUUAUCCAAAGUUAAGUGGGGAAGUAAAGCUACUCUCCAAUACCUUCAUCUUUCAUACAUCAACAUAGAUGGAGGUAUACCUGACUCAAUAGGCUUUUUGGAGUCAUUAGUCAGUUUAGAUCUGCUCGACUGUAAUUUGUCUGGGACGAUGCCAAGAUCCAUUGGACACCUCGUUCAACUUACUCACUUGGACCUCUCUUUUAAUAAUCUCAAUGGCCCAAUUCUAACUUUUUUUACAAACCUUACUGACUUAAGAUAUAUGUCCCUUGGGCUUAACAAUUUUACUGGUCCGUUUCCCUCUUUUCUUGCCCACUCUAGUAAACUAGUUGAGUUGUAUCUUUAUGGUAAUAGGUUUACUGGAUCCGUACCUCGUUCGUUGUUUCACCAUCCAUCGUUAGAGUUCUUGAAUUUGGCAUAUAAUGCAUUCACAGGUCAACUCCAUGAAUUUGAUUCUUCUCGAUCUCGGCUGCAAUCUUUUUCUUGUUCCAGCAAUUUACUCUAUGGAUCCAUUCCUCAUUCAUUUUCUCAACUUGUGAAUCUCACUGAACUAGACUUUUCAUCAAACAGUUUCAGCGGGGUUUUGGAUUUGGAAAUGUUUUCAGGCCUCGGAUUUCUAAAACGUCUUGAUCUUUCUCAUAACAGUCUUUCAGUGAGAAGUACAAUUACGGACACUCUCCCUCCCAAUCUUUACCACUUGGACUUGUCAUCAUGUAACAUGAAAGAGUUUCCUCACUUUUCAAGAGAUGCACACAUCUUCCUGGAUUUUGUAGACCUAUCAAACAAUGAAAUUGAAGGGGAAAUUCCACACUGGAUUGGGUCGAUAGGGAGGUACUCUGUCUACUAUCACAUCCCCUAUCUGAAUCUUUCUCACAACAAACUAAUAGGCGGUCUUGAGCAAUUGCCUUGGGGUCAUAUUAGGUUUCUUGAUCUCCAAUACAAUAAGCUGAAUGGAUCAUUGCCCACCUUGAUGUGUAAUUCCAGCUCUCUUUAUAUUCUAAAUCUCUCUCACAACAAUUUGAGUGGUGUACUACCCAGUUGUCCUACAAAUUUGACUCGUCUUUCAGUGUUGGAUCUGCGGAGGAAUAAAAUUCAGGGAAACAUUCCAGCAACCUUGUCAAAUUUCCGUAACCUGGAAACUAUUAAUUUGAAUGGAAACCGAUUACAAGGAAGCAUUCCUUCUUCUUUUGCUGAAUUUGAUUCUUUAGCCAUUCUUGAUCUUGGAAAUAAUAAGAUAAAUGAUACAUUCCCCCGGUGUUUGGAAGCUCUUCCAAAUCUUCAAGUUCUUGUUCUCAAAUCAAACAAGUUUUAUGGUCUUAUAAACACUAGUUCUAAGAUUGUAUACCCAUUUCCUAGAUUGAGAAUCAUUGAUCUGUCGGACAAUGAGUUUUCCGGUCCACUGCCAGCGAAAUACUUCAGAAACUUCAAGGCUAUGAUGAAUAGUGAUGUAAGCAAAAUAGAUCGCAGUUAUAUGAAUUAUAGUUCCUAUUACAGUGAUUCCACGACUCUGGUGAUUAAAGGAGUAGACAUGGAGUUGGUAAAGAUAUUAACUAUUUUUACAACCAUGGAUGUCUCAAGGAACCAUUUUGAAGGGGAGAUUGUAGAAUCAAUUGGAAAUCUGGUGUCACUUAGACUUCUCAAUUUAUCUCACAAUCAUCUCAGAGGCCGCAUACCAUUCAUGAUUGGAAAUUUGUCAAUGCUGGAAUCACUAGACCUCUCAUUCAACCAACUUGAAGGAGAAAUUCCGCAACAGCUCACCAGUAUAUAUACACUUGAACGUCUUAAUCUGUCAUGCAACCAACUCAGUGGUCGUAUUCCACAAGGUUCUCAGUUUAAUACAUUUGAUAAUGAUAGCUAUGCUGGUAACUUGGGGCUGUGUGGAAAUCCAUUGUCCAAAAAGUGUGAACCUGAUAUUGUGGAGAAAGAAAGUGACGAAGAUGAGGAUGAUGAUUACUUCUUUAGUGGAUUUACUUGGGAAGCGGUGGUGAUUGGAUAUGGGUGUGGAGUGGUGCCUGCAUUUAUCACUGGCUACCUGAUGUUGUUGGCACGGAAACCAAAAUGGUUUGCUGGAAUCAUUGGCAGGGAAUUGGGCCUGAAGAUCAGGAGGAUGGAGAUUAGAAUGCGAUAACUAAAGGUUUGCUGUAAUCUAUAUCCCAUUUGUAGGUCUUCAAUAUUCAGUAAUAAUAUAGUAAUAUCUGCUAUCAUAUAAUUCUAUAUUUGCAGAUUGGAGAGGCAUGAACAUUUUGGCAUGUAAGUUGAUGGGACAAGCAGGAUUCAGAUGCACAUGAAUCAACUACUUCGGUGUUGUAGGCAGCUAGGUUAAUAAACCACUACUUGAGCUGUUAAGCAUCUUUGGUCAUUUUAAAUAUAAAUUGUACAAUAAAAGAUACUUACUCUGCACAUAUUCUAAGUUCCAUAUACAAGUUCUGUAUUGUUUAGUUACUCUGCACAAACUCUAAGUUAGUUUCAACCACUGGGGUGUAAGCAGCCAAGUUAAUAAACCAGCAGUUUCUGUAGCUUUCACAACGUUGCUUCAUAUUAUUUUCCCCCUUGUUAGAUGAGCAAUAUAUUUGUGGAAUGGAUGUACCUGAAUUUGGUAUCCGAAGCUUAGUUAUAGAAAUUGUAGAUCAGCUAGUUUGCAACUUACUGGAAUGCUUUCCAUUGGACUUGAUUUACUCGUAGAGAAGCAGCACGCAAUGUUAAGGAAGGCCUGAUACAUAAUGUAUUUAAGAUAAUGUUUUGCAUCAAUUAUUACAAAAAGCUACUACUUUAAAUUGAUGAACAUUUACUAUAGCAGUACUGUGGUAUUAAAGUGAGUACUAAUAUUAGUGGCGGAGGCAGAACACAAUGUUAGGGGGGCACUUUUUAAUUUUUAACAUUCUAGGGGCAAUUUUUAACAUUCCAGGGGACACAAAAAAUAAUAUUUUGUAGAUUAAUAUUAUCAAAUAGAGUUAAGUUCUAUGGAGUACAUAAAAACAUUAGAGUAUUGGAGUACAAAUCAUAAUUUUUUUUAGUUUGAUUCUAUAUAAUAUCUUUGAAUAUCCAAAUUUUGAUAUAAUCUAUCAUUUAUAAGUUGUGUUGCACAUAAUUGUCAAUUAAUCAUUAAUAUCUUUCAACUUUAACAAAGAUUAAGAUUAUUGUUCUGCUUAUUAGUUAUAUUGCAGAACAUAGAGUCCUAUGAUUUAUAAAAGUAAUUAUUCUACCAUUUGAUCAUGAUGUUUAUGUUGCAGAACAUAAUGUGCAGGUUGUCAAAUAUUUACAAAUAUUAUUGGACAAAAAAAUUGAAAUUUAGAUGACUAAAUUACAUUUUAUCAAACUUUGUACUCCAAUACUCCAAUUUUUUUUUGUACUCCAUAGAACUUAACUCUUAUCAAAUAUAUGGAUCUUAUAUAAAAACAUACACAUUUUUCUGAAACUUAUGAGGGCAUGGGCACCCAGAGGCCCCCAUGUCCCUCCGCCUCUGCUAAUAUAAGAUGUUAGUCGAGUUCGAAGAAGUUUUGGAAUUCUUUUUAUUGAGAGUUUUUGCAAAACGUGGUUAGGAAAUUGAGAAUUUUGAGUUUUAAAAUUAGCUGUAAAAAAUAAUCGGUCAAUUGUAUUAGAUAUUACAUGCAUUUGAGUUUUAAAAUUAGGUGUAAAAAAUAAUGGGUCAACUGCAACAGAAAUGAAUUGGUUUGGUUUCACCCGGAAGAGUUCUGCACUUCACACUCUAGAUUCCAGAAAUAAAAAAAUUCAAAUAUAAAAUGUCAAAUAUUUUAGUUUAUACUCCCUCCGUCCAUUUUAGAUUUUUAGUUGUCACUGCCGGUCAAAUUGACCAAAAUUUGACUAAAAUUUAUUAAUAUUUUAUUAAUUGAAAAAAUAAAAAAAUUAUGUUACCACAAAUUACUUUCAAUCUACAUGAAAUUUUCAAUUUUUUAAAAUAAUGAAGAAGUAACUUGUAAUCUUUGAUCAAAAAUUAGUUAAUUUGACAUAAAAAAAAAAUUGUUACAACUAAAAUGGACCAAGGAAGUACAUAAGAUUUGCUAGUUACCUGCUUACCUUCACUCCUUAUGUCUUAAGCCACUCUUUAUUAUUUUUGAUUACAUAAUAAAUAUGUUUAAACUUUUAACUUUUUAUAUUUAAUAAAUUUAUAUAAUUUAAUUAUUAAAUUUUUUGAUUUGUAUUAAGUUUAAUUUAUAGAUACAUUUAUAUCAAAAUUACUAAAAUCAAUCAAAAUUUUAAUAUUUUGAUUCAGUAACCAGAAUAUAAAUAUAUUUAACUUUUGAAAUGAUAUAUAAAUAGUUUAUGAUUAAAAAAAAUUAAUAAGUAACUUGCACAAUUUCUCUUAAUUACAGUAAUAAAUCUCUUAUUAGUACUUUCAACUAAAUAUUUCUCCCAAACACUUAUAAUUUAUGUCCAAUUUUCAUAUUAUUUCUUUUAGAAAGAUUGUUGUAUUAUUUUAAAUUUUAGUAAUUAAAUCAGUUUUAUUUUUAUGAAUUCCAAAUUUAAAAACCUUAAUAUUUUUGUCACGCUACUUCUUAUUUGUAAUACAAAUUAUUUCUAGAUAAAAUUAAUAUAUUAAUAAAUAUAGUGUAAUUAACUACAUAUAAUACAUUGAAAUUAAAUAAAUAUGCUCUGUACAUUUUUUUCACAUGCAAAAAACUGCACUGUUUCGGUUUAAGCAAAGCUUGAUAAUCAGGACUCCUAGCUGGAAUGGCGAGUAUUAUUCCUACGAAGAAGAUGAUGUUCAUGAUAUCCCUUCACCCCCAAAGACAAUGAAUUGGAGCAUGAAUUCUGAUUACUGUGCAUGUGGGAUGGAGUUAGCUGCGACGAGAAUACAGGGGACCUAACCGGACUGGAUUUAAGCUGCAGUCAUCUGGUGCAUUGGAAUGAAAUUAUAGAACUUCUUCAGAGCCUGAUGCUCUCGAGGAUGCAGUAAUGAACAAGCCUAAUGAUGAUCAUGAGUCAUAACUCCGUCCUCGAGAGCCUGAUGCUCUCGAGGAUGCACUAAUGAACAAGCCUAAUGAUGAUCAUGAGUCAUAACUCCGUCCUUGAAUAAAGUGUCAUGAAACAUAUUUUGUAUUACAUUUUGUAUUAUUGGAAACUUGAUUUGAAACCAAAAUAGUUUGGUGGAAUCAUUGCCAGGGUAUUGGGUCUGAAGAUCGAGGAUGGAGAAUAAAUUGAUUUUGUUCAAAUAUUUAACACAAGCCCAUCAUCAUUAUCCAACACAAGCCCGGUCCAGUAUAGAGUUCUGGCAACUCCAUUGUUGAACACUUCUGUUGAAGUUGGCCUGUCUGGCAGACAAGAGGCCCUGUUUUAGAGGUGAUAUAUGCGCACAGGUAAAAAAUGUAUAUUUCUUCCAAUAGAUUACAUCUCUUUUCUUCAAAAUUUAUUGUAGUUUCAAAAAGUAGCAUUUGAGAACUCAUUCUAUUCCCCUUUUAAAUACUUGGUCUUGGUCAAUACAAACACGAUUAAGACCGGUGUCAAUAUCCCUCAUAAUUUUUCCACUCCUUUGAAUGGCAUUCUACAAUCCACAUAUCAGACUCAUAAAUAAUUAGUUGAAAUCAUUACCAUAGUCCAUAGCGAAAAGACUUUCACCAUUGAACCAUUGCAUAGAUAAUUGAAGAAAGAAACUUCAACAUAUUUGCAUAUCUUUAUCUAUCUUUUUUUCUAGUCAUCAACAGGCACAAGCUGUUGAUUUUUAUAUGUUCUUAAUUGGUAUAAGCAUUUAAGGUGAGUGUUGAUAUUUCUCACUAAUCUUCUUCUGCUCUAAGUGACAUAUUAUUACAAUCCACAAAUUAGUAGACAGACUAAUAUGGUUAGUUGAGACCAUCAAUCUGGAGAACAGACUAAUACAUGUGUAGUAAUCUGAUCAUCAUUUAUUUGAUUACAAUAGAAAUUCGGCUUUGUUUAGUUCCAUCCUCGGGCUCUUCAUUUCUAAACAUAUUUGCUGAUACUUUUUAUUGUACAAUUUAGAAUAUUCCAUAAAAUUUUAUAUUCGGUGCUAGAUGAAUUUAUGUCUUGUUUUCAUUCCAUUCAUGAACUAAUGAAAAUUUUAAAAUUGGGUCAUAUUAGGCAGUGAUGCCACCUUUCUGGACCUGCAUUUCAUGACCACAAACUCCUAUUGUGCCAAAAAAUUCCAGCUGUUUCGUGAGAUUUUUCUACGUGCUCUUUUGUUCGGACUUGUUUGCUGAAUCCCACAAUAGACAAUAUUGAUGUUAACAACUCUUGCGUCAGUUACUAGACUCGUUGUUAGUAGCCCAUUCUUUACGGCAGACGUGGAAUUUACUUGAAGAAAUGAAGGUGUAAGAACAGGGGCGGAUCCAGCCUUCGCAUCUCACCCGGGCUGAAAGCCUGAAACACUUAUAACCUUGAAGGUAUACAGUGGAGGUGAAGAGGGGAAAAAAAUAUAUAUGGUACUGACAGUGACAUGGAAAUAUGGAUAUUAUUCUUUUAACCUGCUGCAGGGACUAUCAGCUGGUAAAUUCAUGUCAAAUCAAUUUUUUUGACNGCCGAGACGAGUCGGCGAGACGGCCGAGACGAGUCGUCGACGUGCGAGACGAGUUGGCGCGAGACGGGCGAAGCGAGACAUCUCCGAGACGAGUCAUGCGUGCGUGCCGAUACGUACGAGCCGAGACGAGGCGUCCACGUUUUCUCAAACCCAGGCUCGUGAUCGCCUCGUCUAUUUNACUAUAACUAAUAAUUCAUGUCAAAAUCAAGAUUAUAAAAAUUAAUAAUAUGACUACAAAAAUAAAAUAUAAACGUAAGGUAAUAACAUAUGGUAAACCUGAAUAUAUUUUAGUAACAAUUGUUUUGACAUAGUUAGAUUAAGGGAUUAAAUUAUUAUAUAAAAUAAUAAAAGUAGCUAUAUAUUAAAAAAAUAAAGCUAUAUUUAUAUAAUUAGUUUAAACACGUCAAAAGGUCAAAAAGCAAGAUUAAACCGCUUAGCUUAUAUAAACACCAUGACCGACUGUUUGACCUAAACUAAACAAAUUUAUAUUUAAAAUACAAAAUUACAUGAAUAAAACCGAAAUAGGGUUACAAUUCAUAAAAGUUAACAGCAACUCUGGUUAAUUAAUAAAGUUCCAGACCCAAAACUGAGAAAAGUGUCGGGCUUUUUAAAAUUUUAGACCGGGCUAAAGAUCAGUAAACUUUCGUCGAGGCUGGUAAAAUUUUUUGUAUCAUAAAACUCACCCGGGCUUUAGCCCACCGGAGCCCAUACAUAGAGAAAGUUGAGAACAUUUUGUUGAUUAUUCCCUUCCCUAGAAACUGCACUCCGCCAUCAAAGUACCUUUCAAAGACUCCAGCAUCAUUUCUUGAUUAUCAAAGUCUUCGUCUUUGUCAUCUCCUGCUCUGAAAGUGUUUCUAUUGCAGACCACAUAUUAGUAGACAGACUACUAAAAUUCAUCUAAAAUGACCUCUCUGCGUGGGCUCUUUUGAACAAUCAGGGUUGGACAUGAUUCUACACGCAUCAGAGAAAAACUAUCAGCUGGCUAAANUCUUCAAAAUUUAUUGUAGUUUCAAAAAGUAGCAUUUGAGAACUCAUUCUAUUCCCCUUUUAAAUACUUGGUCUUGGUCAAUACAAACACGAUUAAGACCGGUGUCAAUAUCCCUCAUAAUUUUUCCACUCCUUUGAAUGGCAUUCUACAAUCCACAUAUCAGACUCAUAAAUAAUUAGUUGAAAUCAUUACCAUAGUCCAUAGCGAAAAGACUUUCACCAUUGAACCAUUGCAUAGAUAAUUGAAGAAAGAAACUUCAACAUAUUUGCAUAUCUUUAUCUAUCUUUUUUUCUAGUCAUCAACAGGCACAAGCUGUUGAUUUUUAUAUGUUCUUAAUUGGUAUAAGCAUUUAAGGUGAGUGUUGAUAUUUCUCACUAAUCUUCUUCUGCUCUAAGUGACAUAUUAUUACAAUCCACAAAUUAGUAGACAGACUAAUAUGGUUAGUUGAGACCAUCAAUCUGGAGAACAGACUAAUACAUGUGUAGUAAUCUGAUCAUCAUUUAUUUGAUUACAAUAGAAAUUCGGCUUUGUUUAGUUCCAUCCUCGGGCUCUUCAUUUCUAAACAUAUUUGCUGAUACUUUUUAUUGUACAAUUUAGAAUAUUCCAUAAAAUUUUAUAUUCGGUGCUAGAUGAAUUUAUGUCUUGUUUUCAUUCCAUUCAUGAACUAAUGAAAAUUUUAAAAUUGGGUCAUAUUAGGCAGUGAUGCCACCUUUCUGGACCUGCAUUUCAUGACCACAAACUCCUAUUGUGCCAAAAAAUUCCAGCUGUUUCGUGAGAUUUUUCUACGUGCUCUUUUGUUCGGACUUGUUUGCUGAAUCCCACAAUAGACAAUAUUGAUGUUAACAACUCUUGCGUCAGUUACUAGACUCGUUGUUAGUAGCCCAUUCUUUACGGCAGACGUGGAAUUUACUUGAAGAAAUGAAGGUGUAAGAACAGGGGCGGAUCCAGCCUUCGCAUCUCACCCGGGCUGAAAGCCUGAAACACUUAUAACCUUGAAGGUAUACAGUGGAGGUGAAGAGGGGAAAAAAAUAUAUAUGGUACUGACAGUGACAUGGAAAUAUGGAUAUUAUUCUUUUAACCUGCUGCAGGGACUAUCAGCUGGUAAAUUCAUGUCAAAUCAAUUUUUUUGACUUUAUAUAUAUAUAUACUCAUUUACAUAUAAAAAAAAUAUAAAAUUUAAGAAUCUCAAAUAUUGGAGGUAGCCUGAAUAACAUUUGUUUGUCACUAAUACAAUAAAAAUUAAUUUUGUAUGAUCAGCUACAUAGACUAAAUCAUUUUAUUUUAUUUAUUUUAAACUAUAACUAAUAAUUCAUGUCAAAAUCAAGAUUAUAAAAAUUAAUAAUAUGACUACAAAAAUAAAAUAUAAACGUAAGGUAAUAACAUAUGGUAAACCUGAAUAUAUUUUAGUAACAAUUGUUUUGACAUAGUUAGAUUAAGGGAUUAAAUUAUUAUAUAAAAUAAUAAAAGUAGCUAUAUAUUAAAAAAAUAAAGCUAUAUUUAUAUAAUUAGUUUAAACACGUCAAAAGGUCAAAAAGCAAGAUUAAACCGCUUAGCUUAUAUAAACACCAUGACCGACUGUUUGACCUAAACUAAACAAAUUUAUAUUUAAAAUACAAAAUUACAUGAAUAAAACCGAAAUAGGGUUACAAUUCAUAAAAGUUAACAGCAACUCUGGUUAAUUAAUAAAGUUCCAGACCCAAAACUGAGAAAAGUGUCGGGCUUUUUAAAAUUUUAGACCGGGCUAAAGAUCAGUAAACUUUCGUCGAGGCUGGUAAAAUUUUUUGUAUCAUAAAACUCACCCGGGCUUUAGCCCACCGGAGCCCAUACAUAGAGAAAGUUGAGAACAUUUUGUUGAUUAUUCCCUUCCCUAGAAACUGCACUCCGCCAUCAAAGUACCUUUCAAAGACUCCAGCAUCAUUUCUUGAUUAUCAAAGUCUUCGUCUUUGUCAUCUCCUGCUCUGAAAGUGUUUCUAUUGCAGACCACAUAUUAGUAGACAGACUACUAAAAUUCAUCUAAAAUGACCUCUCUGCGUGGGCUCUUUUGAACAAUCAGGGUUGGACAUGAUUCUACACGCAUCAGAGAAAAACUAUCAGCUGGCUAAAGACCUCUCUGCAUCAACUCUAUUAAGAAAAGAAACUAUGGCUCAUACAGUUUAAGUUGAUAUCAAAUCGUAAAUGAGAAUACUUGCAGUUUUAAAUUACUGCACGCUAUUUUUUUUAACGAAAAUAUGUGCAGUUUUAACAUAGUCUAAUUAUUUUCUUGAUGACGGCUAUGCAAAUUGUGAUAGUUGAAUUUUUUUUAUGGUCUUUGACAAGCAUCAAGGAAAUUGUGAUAGUUGAAUUACCCUGAUUGUCAAAAACUACCUCGUAAUCAGAACGGGUUUUUUUUUGAGUUUGUUAAGGAUUCUCUCCAGGCAAAAGUUUCUCUUAUGCAGUUGAAGGUGAAAAUUAAGUCGUUGAAGAGGAAAUAUAAGUCUCUCAAAGAUUAUGAUGUUGUGUUUGACAAACCCAUGGAAGAGGAAUUGUUUCGCCUUUCCGAUAAGGUUUGGAGCCAAGGGAUUGAUAAUCAGGGUAAUGCUGCUAGCAAGGACAAGGAUAUAAGUAUCGAGAUCAAAGAGGAUGGAGUGAUUGAGGACUGUAGGAAGGAUAAGGAUACGAGCAUUGGGAUAAAUGAGGAUGGAGUGAAUGAGGCCGGUAGGAAGGAAAAGGAUACGAGAAUCGGGAUAAAUGGGGAUGGAGUGAAUGAGGACGGUAGGAAGGACAACGAUAUGAGCAUCGGGAUAAAUGGGGAUAUGGUAGAAGCCUCCAGGCUAAUGUGUCGAAGGGGAGGACAUGGAUGCUAUGGAAAUUUAGUUAGGAGGAAAUAUAAAUCAUGCUAACAGGAGCAGAUGAUGAACUUGAUUGCAAUGAAGAACUGAAGUUCCACAACGAGAUGAAGUCGACGAAGGAAGGUAGGAAGGACAAGGAUACGAUCAUCAGUCUUGUAUUUAGCUUGAUCGAAAAUAACUGUUCUCUUCAAAUUCUUUCCCUNUCUCUACUCUGUAGCUUACACAUCAUUGAUUCAUAUUAUUUUCCCUUAGGAACUUGAGAGACAUUUGGCAUCUAAAGAAGCUUCUCUCCCGCAAGAACCAUCACCAGAUGAUGAUAAUGCCGUUAACCUGCUUGUGCGGAUGCCGGAUGGCGGCCGGCAAGGCCGCAGAUUCCUCAAGUCCCACAAGCUUCAGGUAUUUAUUCCGUGACAAUAUUUUUCCAGUUAUUGGUUAAAAGUUGUAUAAUUGGUUGUUACUUGAUUUGCAGCAUCUUUUUGACUUCAUCGAUGUUGGUCGGUUGGUCAGACCUGGUACUUACAGACUGGUAAUCCUUCAUGUGCUUUUUUACCUUUCACACUUAAUUCUUGUGGGGGCACACUUAUAUUUUUACAAAGUUUUAAAUGACGAAUAAAUUCCAAAUAAUUUUUAUGGGGGACAGUCCCCCUUGCUAGAUCCCCUCCUGGUGUCCAAACUUUUUUUACAUUUCAUAAUUGAUUGUCUGGACCGGCAAAGAGCAAUGAAUAUUCAUUUUAGUCACAUAGGAGUGUCGGGGUUUGUAUUGUUGUUAUGCUUGAUAGUAUAUAGAGAGCUUAUUGACUAGUUGACUCAACAUCGUUUCUUUUUCCUUUCCCCCAUCUUCUCUGGUGAUUAAUGUUUGCGUGAUCCCACUAGUCCUUCCGCAAAAAAAAAAAGAAGUUAUAUUGUAUUUUUAAAAUGAAUUGCAUUUCAAACUAUUUGUUUGAUAAGUAGGGUACUCGUGUAAUUUAAUUGUAAUAUCGAUACCUUUUUUUGUAACACCAAAGAAAAAUUAGAAUCUUUAUAGUGUCAGGACUCUUGAUACUUGGUAGAUGCUUGAGAAGAAGGCUGUAUUUGAAGAUAUGGAGAAUGUGGUAACCAUAUGACUAAGGUCAACUAACUUUUGCUUGCUAAAGUGGAACUCUGUCAAAAAUUUAUCUGUAUCUAUCUCUUUUUUGUAGUCAUCAGUAGAUUUACUCUUCCAUAUGUAUCAGGGUCAAGUUGUUGAAAUAUAUCAGUCCUUAAUAGGUGUUAGCACAAUUUAGAUGAGCAAAAUAUUUAAGGAACGUAUGUACUUCAACUUGGCAUGCAAAACGAGUUAUACAAAUGGUAGAUUAGCUAGUUGGUAAUUUAAUGAGAAUCCUUUCCAUUGGACUUGAUUCAUUGAUAGAGAAGCAAAGCACAAUGUUACUUCCUGAUACAUAAUGUAUUUAUGCCUCGUAUAGAUAUAUUAUGAUUGUUAGAAUUAAACAUGUUUUAUUUUGCACAGGCAAGGCCGUAUCCAAGACGGGCUUUUGGUGUUGGUGAGAGCUCAACAACUUUUGAUGAACUUGGCCUGUCUGGCAGACAGGAGGCCUUGUUUCUGGAGUUAAUAUAGCAGAUAUAGUUAUCGUAAAAUUGUAAUAGGAUCUCGAAGAGUUUACCCAGAUGGACCAACUUUGUUUGUUAGUUGUAAAAGUUGUUUAGAGAUGGAUAUUUUGUCAAAGUUUGUAUCUAUUGGGUAUUUGGUCUUUUAGUCAGACUGUGGCUCAUACAGUUUGAAGUUGAUAUCAAAUCUUAGAUGAGAAUGUUUGCAGUUUGAAAUUACUGAACAUUGUUUCUUGAAUUCGAUAUCGAAUUUUAAACGAGAAUAUGUCCAGUUCCACUACAAGAGAAAGCGAUUCUACCAAUGGAAUUUGCUAAGGGAAAUUAGUCCGUUGGUAGUUCCCAACGGAUUUGUAAUGAUUUGACUAGUCAAUGUUCUGCCAACCAAGUCGCAACGAAAUACCCACGUUUAUUUACCAACGAAACGUUCCGUUAAGAAAUAUAACCACAUAAUGGAAUAGUAACAAAAGGCCAAGGAAUGAGCAACAGACUAGUAACGAAAAUAUCUGUUAUUACGUUCAUUGAUAUUCCGUUGAUAAAUACUAACAAUUCCGUUAGUAAUUGAUUAUUAGUUUUAUAACAUGGACAAUUGAUAUACACUACAUGAGCAGUCUCUUAUUUGACAUUUGUGUCAUGCUAAAGCCCAAUGGGCUUUAGUCGAUUAAAUUGAUUUGGGUUGUAGAAAACGGCCAAUAAUAUAAUGGACUUUGAUAUGUAUCGUAAAUAUUAAGUAAUUUUCUUGGAUUUAUGUAUAUAACAUAAUUGUUAAUUGGCUCAUCCUUAACUAGAAAUUUUAUAUUACAUUCUUAACUAGAAAUUUUAUAUUUAAAAAAAAUUAAUCUUUUAUGUGGUAUGUGGAUUUUGUAGUCAAAUGCGGUCAAUUUACUUAGCCUUUGAUCGGAUACCUACCCAAAACAUAAAAAUAUUUUUUAUUUUCGAUGAUCCAGCUAUACGGAUAUUAUUGUAAUGUGAUAAUAUUGAUUAAAUUUUUUUUUAAAAAAGUAGCAUUUUAUUUGGUAUGUGAAUUUUGUAGUCAAAUGCAAUUAAAUUACUUAGUCUCUAAUGGAAUACUUGCCCGAAACAUAAAACUAUUUUCUUAAAACACAAUUUGGACGAUCCAACCAUACAGAUGUUAUUAUAACGUGUUAAUAUUGGUUAAAAUAAUUUUUAAGAAUAUAUGUCUUUUAUUUGGUGUGUGGAUCUUGCAGUCAAAUGCGGUCAAAUUACUUAGCCUUCAAUCGAAUACUUACCCAAAACAUGAAACUGUUUUUUUAAAAAUCAUUUCGGACGAUCCAACCGUACGGAUAUUAUUGUAAUGUGAUAAUAUUGAUUAAAUUUGUUUUUGAAAAAUUUUAGCUUUUGAUUUGGUGCGUGGAUUUUGUAGUCAAAUGCGGUCAAACUACUUGGCCUUUAAUGAAAUACUUACACGAAACAUGAAAUUAUUUUUUUUUAAAACCAUUUUGGAUGAUCCAACCGUGCGGAUGUUAUUAUAACGUGUUAUAUUGAUUAAAAUAUUAUUUAAAAAAUAGCCUUUUAUUUGGUGUGUGGAUUUUGUAGUCAAAUGCUCAAAUUACUUAGCCUUUAAUCGAAUACUUACCUUAAACAUGAAACUAUUUUUAAAAAAAUUAUUUUGGAUGAUUCAAACUGUAGGGAUGUUAUUUUAACAUCUUAAUAUUGAUUAAAAUUAUUUUAAAACAAUUUAGUUUUUUUUUAUGUGUGAAUAUUUUAGUCAAGUACGAUAAAUUAUUUAUUUAGCCUUCAAUGAAAAAUUAAAAAUCCCGCACAGCCAAAAGUUUUCCCUCGUUUUGUGAAUCUUCCCCAGCCAUUUCCCCCCAACCCCAACCCCGAAAUUCACAAAACUCUCCCCCCAAAUUAGCUCGGCCUCUCCCAAAUCUCUAUCUCUCUUUGUAUAUCUUUAGGUGUGUUUUGUAGAGGCGGCCACCUCCAAAGCUUCAAAAUAAUCAAACUUAUCACCGCCGCUGUUCGAGAAUGAAUUUCUUUUAGGAGAUUCGUCGAUUUAGUUAUCAAAUUAGUUACCAUUAGGGUUCUACUCCGAUUUUCAAUAGUAUGAUGUUGGGGUUCGAUUGGUCGAUUGUCAUGUUUUAUAAGUUAUGUGGGUUCGAUUUUGAUGUUUUUACAAUUAGGUUUAUGUAUGUUUUUAUACGGGUUUCAUGUUCAUGUUUCGAUUUGUUGAUUUCCUAUUUUUCCUAUAUGUUAAUUUGUUAUUUGUGUGGAUUUUGGAUUUUGAUGUGUGUGUGUGUAAUGCCCUGUUUUUUUUUCAUUUUUUCAGGUUCGAACACUUCGAUUAGUAGCCGGAAAAACAACUGAUGCGGCAGUAGCGGCUAGCAAGGAGAUGAAUAACAAGAAAAGGCCGAUUUCGAGGUCAUCUCGUGCAAGUCUUCAGGUAUAGUUUUAUUCCUUUAUAUUUUUAAUCGACAUAAAUCUAACAAGUAAUUAUAGUUCUAACAAGUAAUUAUAGUUCUGAAUGGGGAGCUUAUUGUGAAAUUGAAUUGAGGGACAAGUUGUGUUAUUGGUUCCAGUAGAUAAAUUUAUGUUGACACUUGAUAUAUGCAUUUUUCCACUAUGAUGCUCCCUUUGGUUUGCUUAAGGUCAAGUACCGUUACUUAAUGCAUUUACAAGUAUUCCAGAACAAGUUUGUGCGCCAUAGUGCUACCUUAAUCUAUGAAUUUGAUGCCAGGCACUUUAGGUGUUAUCUCUUAUUGAUUUUUUAUUGGAGAGUUUGGGUGUUUUCUGGAAGAAGUAUAUAGUGAGAGCAGAGGUUUUCAUUUUCGUCAUGAUUUACUCUAAUGUUUCUAAUGUUCACCUGUUAACUGCUGUAGAUUUGGGCUUUAUCUAUUUCUACAUAAUUUAUUUUUGUCUUUGUUGCUGCUUCUUGAUAAUUUUCAAUAAUUGAAACUUUUGUUACAAAUAUAUGCUUGCUAGUCAAUUGUAUGUAGAAAUCUCUAACAAAACUUUAACUUUUACCUUUGAAAUUUAGUUACGAAUUUAAAGAAUUUGACUAGAACUUCAGUCGGUGGAUUCUUGACAUUUUUAUGUAAAUCAUAUAGUAUUCAGGAGUUACCCUGUAAAAUGCCCACAAAUCUUAAAUUAAUUAGAAGUCAAGUAAUAAGCUUAAGGCCUCUGAGACUGUGUCUGCAUUCUAGAUUUCAAUACAUUCUAUAUCAUAAUGUUGUUAAACUGCUUUUUAGCAAGUGCUUGAGUUUUUGGUAUCUACAUAUAAGAUUAUCUAAGAUAUCAAUUUAUUCAUGAGAGCAGGUUGAUGACAAGUACCGAUACAUGUGUGAAAAAAAAAAAGAUAACAUGGUCCAUGGAGUUGGUUCUUUGCAAUCUCUCUUUUAUAAGCCGGAGAUUCCUUGCAGUCCAUCCUUUGCUGAUGCAGAAAAUCAGAAGUUGCACGAAGAACUAAAUGUGAUGAAGGAUAAGAUGAAAGCAAUGGAGAAUCAAAUAGCUAUGGUUGUGUUAGUACUAGCUAGUUUUCAAGCCUCGUUAGUAAUUGAUGGCUCCUUUUAGAUAUAAUACUUGAACACUAUUGUAUCGGGUAACUCUUAUCUCAUUUUGAAGAUCGUAAAGAAACGUUUAUUAUGUAAAAAGAGUACACUUUUGUUAUUUCUUUAUUUGCAUUUUUAUAGACAUAAAAAUGAACAAUUCUAGAAAAUGAAAAAUUUGCACUGUAUUUGAGCAUGCAUACCAACAGAAUAUGUUUAUAUCUACUAACGGAAAUUUAACAACCGAAAGAGUCUUUUAGUUCUUUGUUGUUAAAUUUAACAAUUUUGACUAUACUUAACAUCAGAUUUUCCGUUGGGAAUAUGUUGCUAGAAUUGCCAACCGAAUAUUCUGUUGGCGGGAUGGUGUUUCUUUUGUUAUUUUGCAAAAUAGAGGUCUGUUACGAGAUUGUUACUACUCGGUUGCUAACUUAGCAACGGACACCUAAUUCGGUUGGCGAGGUGCUUCCCAACGACGUUUACUCUAACGGUCCAGUUCAGUGGGCAUUCCGUUAGGAAUCUCUUUUACCAACGGAUUUUCUUGAUUUGCCAACAUAAUAUUUCGUUGGGAAUAAUGAAAUUUCUUGUAGUGUUCUAACUUGAAAGUUAUGCAAAUUACGUUAAUAAUAUCAUCAAUUUUGAGUCUCUUGGUCUUCGGUCUUCUAUUGCAGCAUAUCAUACACUUCUCAAGUGAUUGAAAAUGAACUCUCUCCAAAAGGCAAGGGGUCUGUCGAAGUAGACCUGGAAUUGAUUUUACUUGAAGAAACAAUAAUAGUUCACCUUUUAAAGUUUUGGUCUUUGUCUUUUGUCUCUCAAAGUCUUGAUCUUUGUCGUUUACAUCUCAUACAAUUUGCUAUCGUAUUGAACACUUCACACAAUUUCAUACUAUCGUAUUGAACACUUCACACUUCACACAAUUCCAUAAUAUUGAAGAUUUUUGGCUUGAAAUAUUCUAGAGAAUAAGAUUGUACAUAAAAUCCAACAAUUUAUUUCCUUUUCUACAAUAUUACAACUCAUAUAUUUGUUGCCAAUGACUCAUUCAAUUCGCAUCAAUUACUAUCAUCUUCACUUUAUCAAAGAGUCUUGCUCUUUGUCCUCUACAUGCUUUUAUCACGGUCCCCAUGUUAGUGUGAUUUGAAAAUACUUGUGUUACAGUCCACAUAUUGAUAAAUAGACAAAUUAUAAUAUUUAGUUCAUUAAUGAAUAGAUAAGACGUUCAUGUGUAUGUAUUUGAAAAAUAAAAUAUUAUGAAGCUAAAUGAAUAAACACUUCUGAAGAGUAAAACGCGUUUCUGGUCCAUUUUGUAGCUUGAAGAAAUGAAGCAGAAGUCAAGAUUUUCUUGAAGAAACGAAAUUUUAUAAAAGUUAAAAACAAUUCGAUAAUUAUUGUCUUUUCAAAAAACGGGGCACGCAACACUCUUUUAUAUCAUCUUUCAAUUCUUAGAGUCUUCCUUCUGCUACUCCAAAAGUGGUUCUAUUAUAGGUCACAUAUUAAUAGAUCGAUACAAAUUUAUUAAAAAGAUCCUUAUUUUCAACGAUCAAUAUCAGUUUGACUAUAAAUUUAUCUGAAAUGACCCUUGUUAAUGGACUCUAGCUUAUAGGGUCAAACUUGGCUAUACAUGCCUCGGAGAAAAUUCAUCAGUUCGUAGAAGAGACCUUUCUGCAUCAACUCUAUGAAAAAUGCAGCACUUAUCAUCUAAAUAAAAAUUAGUAAGACUAUCUUAGAUUCUCUGAAGUGUUUAUAUUGCAGCCGCUUGUAUUGAAUACACACAUAAAUAACCACACAUAAUCAGGAAGGUUCGAAAUUUUUUGGUUUAACCAUAUCACCAACAUGAAGAAAAGACUUUCAAGCGUCAUAAUAGCUAAGAGCAUCUCCAACGGCAUUGGCUAUAAUCGUUGGCUAAAUUAGACAUGUAAGACAUUAUGUAAAAUUUGCUGAACCUGUAAGACAUUUUGCUUCAAUGGUAUUGGCUAUAUUAAUUAGUUGGCUAUAAUUUAAAAAUAGUAUGUUAUUAAUAUUUUAAAUUGUUAAAAUAGAAUAUAUCAGUUCAAUAUGGUAAUAAAUGAUUUACAAUCUUCCUACAGAUUUUCUUACAAACCUGUAGAGGUUCAACAAAUUUAGUCAUCCAUAGGAGGUUGGCUAAAUUUAUAGACAACAGCUGAGCAUGGUUGGAGGUGAGUUUUUGGAGCUGUUACCUAAAUUUUUUUAUUUUAAGUAUGUUAACUCACAUUUUAGCCAAGGGUUUUAGAUGGUUGGAGAUGCUUUGAGAGUUUUUUAUAUUCAGGAUAGCCCCGGUCUAGAUUAUUAUAAAAAACUUGUUUAUAUGGAGACAUAAUAAAGGUCCCAGAAUUUUUUACUCUUCAAGAUUUCCGUUUCUAGCCAAAUUUUUUGACCAUAAAUAAUAUAUUGGUUUUACCUGAAAACAAAAUUUAAAGAAAAUUCAAACUUUUUUAUUAGAGUACUUCUUUUCUUUUAUUAUUACUUCUUUUCUUUUAUUUUGAAAUUGCAAAACAGCUCAAAGUAGUUCUAAAAGAAUCAUUCUCCCCGCUAGGAUCAGUUACAAUUAAGAUUGACAAGAUGUUUUAGCUGCGAGUUCUUCAAAUUAUUGCUCGUAAGGUCCAUGACAGCUUAGAUAGUCACCAAAGCUUUGGCCUGUGGAUUAAGUUGAUGAAAUCUAGUGCAUUAAAAUCAAUGACAGCACUAUUUUAUGGGAUUGAUGCUCGCUCUUAAUAUUAUGCGUUUUUCUAAUGUGUGUGCCCAAAGACACACAAUAAACACUAAAUUUGAUAAAAAAAAUCGUAAUAUUAGUCAUUCCGCUCAUAAAUUUCAACCAGAGAAGAAAGAGCAUCGUGACUGUCAUUGUAUCCUUAAAAUUUGUUCGAUUAGGUUUUUUACAUAGUUUGCGCGUGGUCAUCAGGGUAGGCCUUCAUUAUAUUAAGCCAAUCUAGCUAGUAAUUCCAUAUUAAACAAGUUUAAAAUUUUCAAAUUUUGAUCUUAAUAAAUUUGUAAAAAUAGUAAACUUUUUCUUAUUUAUGAUAUUCACAAAUCUCUUACUUUUUUAUUACUGUAUUCAACUAAAUAUUUUUUAUAAACACUCAUAAAUGCAUCACAUCAGUUAUGAAAUUUAAAACAAAUAGUUUAUAGCCCGUGUAAGGCACGGGAGUUUUUUAAUUAUUUAUAAAUUUCUUAAAUAUAUUUUAAAUGGUGUGAAAAAAUUUAAUUUAUAAAUAAUAAAUUAAAAUUUUCAAUAAAAUAAAAUUCGAAAUUAUAAUUUGUUUGUAAGUUAGAACUGUGGUAAAUACAUCAUCAAGCCCAUUAAUGGUUUCAAAUAAACUAUUGUAAUGAAGCCAUUCUUUUUCUCGUAUGUACCGUGGCAAAGAAUUAAAUUCUGUUUAUCAAAUUUUAAUAUAUUUUGAGUGGAAUACGUUAUUGCCAACUCUUAUUAGAUUAUAUUUAUAAAUGUAUUUUAUAUUAGAAUUAUUAUAGUGUGAUUUAAAUAGUCCGCAAGGGUUAGUUUAGCUGGUUAAAAAGAGGACAUGUAUCCUCUUGGUCACAGGUUCGACUCUCAAAGGGUGGAUUAACGCUAUUGCGUGAUCCACUCCCAAAGGGUGGAUUAACCCUCCAAAGGGUAGCUGUUGCGGGUUCCUAGAUUACAAAAAAAUAAAAAAAUAUAUAAUGUGAUUUAAAUAUUUUUCAAAAAAUUUAUAUGGUUCCAAAUUAAAAUUGAUAAACAUAAUUUGUUGUGAUUUAAAUAUUUUUCAAAAAAUUUAUAUGGUUUCAAAUUAAAAUUGAUAAACAUAAUUUGUUUUUGAAUUAAGAAAAGGAAUCAUAAACAUGCAAUAAGAAGGUAGAAUCUAUUUUGGAUUAAGAAAAAGUUUUUGUAUUUGCUAAUCACAUAAAUCCGGCUUAUUAAUUUUAAAAUAUAUUAUAAAAAAAUUGUGACGGUGAGAUUUAUAUGAUUAAAAAAUUUUUGUAUUUGCUAAUCACAUAAAUCCGGCUUAUUAAUUUUAAAAUAUAUUAUAAAAAAAUUGUGACGGUGAGAUUUAUAUGAUUCUACGAAUAAAACUGGUAGAAAAUAUUUAUUUGGGAUUAAAAAAAUCAUAUACACGUGAAAGACAUAAUUUGUUUUGGAUUCAGAAAAAAAAUUAUAAAUAUGCAAGGUGAUAUCAGUUGCCUUGUAGAACAGAAGUUGAUUUUCGAAUCUAACGGUGCUUAUUUGUUCAAUAUAAGAUGCAACGGAUGAUAAACUUUUGGACCAGAGAACCAUGCGACCAAAUUAUCUCCCUUACGCUUAUUAUAUAUAAGUAUAUAAUAUGUCCAAUUUCUUUGAGAAAGAUGGUUGUAUAAUUUUUAGUUUAAAAUUUUAAUUAUUUUUAUUUUUAAUAUAAUUUACAACUAAAAAGUUUUAUUAUAUUUUGACUGCUUUGUAAUACAAUUAAAUAUAUCUUAAAUACACUUUUUCCUAUAUAUAUACGCUAACCUCGAGAGAUGUUGAAGAUCGUCCGAAACAAAAUUUGAAAGGGAAAAUGAAAAUGAGGAAUUGCAACCUCUGUUUUUUCACCAUCAGUAUGAUGCUCAUCUUCUUGAAGUUGCAGCACCACCUGGUGGCUUCUUCAUUAAGCCCCCACUUGCAGAAACUUGCCUUGUUUCACCUUAAGCAAAGCUUCACAAUCACUCCUCCUCGCUUCCCUUGCUCCUAUUAUUCCUACGAAGAUAAUGAGGGGUAUGAAAUUCCUUCUCGGCCAAAGACAAUGAGUUGGAGCAUGAGUACUGAUCACUGCACAUGGGAUGGAGUUAGCUGCGACAACAAGACAGGGGAUGUUAUCGGACUGGAUUUAAGUUGCAGUCAGCUGGAAGGAGCCAUUCUUCCUAACAGCACUCUCUUCCAACUCUCUCAUCUCCGCUUCCUCAAUCUUUCUCAUAACAACUUUUCCCUCUCCAGUCAGUUCCCUCCGGAAUUUGGUUUCUUUGCAAAAGGUCUGACGCAUCUCAACCUCUCUAAUAGUUAUUUAUCAGGGAGAGUUCCCUCUGGAAUCUCUCAUUUGUAUAAACUAGUCUCACUUGAUCUCAGUGACAAUGAUGGGACUAAACUUGAAGAAGAAGUAUUUAAAUCAAUGUUGCAGAAUUUAACGCAUCUCGGAGUGCUUAAUCUUAAUAACGUUAAUAUCUCCUCUAUUUUUCCCGUGAAUAUCUCUACUUCUUUAAGAGUUCUUCAAUUGUUGUAUACUGGUAUACACGGAGUAGUACCCCAAGAGGUUUUCCACCUUCCCAACUUGGAAUUACUUGAUUUAUUAUAUAAUUACGACCUGAGAGCUACAUUACCCAAAGUUAAGUGGGGAAGUAAAGCUACCCUCCAACACCUUCAUCUUUCAGAAAUCAACAUAGAUGGAGGUAUACCUGACUCAAUAGACUUUUUAAAGGACUCAUUAGUCAGUUUGUAUCUGGGCGGCUGUAAUUUGUCUGGGCCUAUACCAAGAUCCAUUGGGCACCUCGUUCAACUUACUCAGUUGGGCCUCCAUGAUAAUAAUCUCAAUGGCCCAAUUUUAACUUUUUUUACCAACCUUACAGACUUAAGAUAUAUCUACCUUGAAGGUAACAAUUUUACGGGUCCGUUUCCCUCUUUUCUUGCCCACUCCAGUAAACUAGUUGUGUUGCAUAUUGAGAGUAAUAGCUUUACUGGAUCCCUACCUCGUUCGUUGUUUCACCAUCCAUCCUUAGAGUACUUGUUUCUGGAACUUAAUGCAUUCACGGGUCCACUACAUGAAUUUGAUUCUUCUCGGUCCCGGCUGCAAUAUUUUUCUUGUUCCAGCAAUUUACUCAAUGGAUCCAUUCCACAUUCAUUUUCUCAACUUGUCAAUCGCACUGACCUAGAUUUUUCUUCAAACAAUUUCACCGGGGUUUUGGAUUUGGAAAUGUUUUCAGGUCUCGAAUUUCUAGAACGUCUUGAUCUUUCUGAUAACAGUCUUUCAGUGACAAGUACAAUCAGUGGCACCCUCCCUCCUACGCUUAUAUACUUGGGCUUGUCUUCUUGCAACAUGAAAGAGUUUCCUCGCUUUUGAACAGAUGCAAACAUCUUCCUGGAUUCUAUAGACCUGUCAAACAAUAAAAUUGACGGGGAAAUUCCACACUGGAUUGGGUCGCUGGGGGUGUCCUAUCUGAAUCUUUCUCACAACAAACUAAUAGGCGGUCUUGAGCAACUGCCUUGGGGUUAUAUUAAUUAUCUUGAUCUCCAAGACAAUAAGCUGAAUGGAUCGUUGCCCACCUUGAUGUGUAAUUCCAGCUCUCUUGAGAUUCUAAAUCUCUCUCACAACAAUUUGAGUGGUGUACUCCCCAUUUGUCAUACAAAUUUGACUCAGCUUUCGGUGUUGGAUCUGCGGAGGAAUAAAAUUCAAGGAAACAUUCCAGCAACCUUGUCAAAUUUCCAUAAUCUGGAAACCAUUAAUAUGAAUGGAAACCAAUUACAAGGAAGCAUUCCUUCUUCAUUUGCUGAAUUUGAUUCUUUAGCCGUUCUUGAUCUUGGAAAUAAUCAGAUAAAUGAUACAUUCCCCCGGUGUUUGGAAGCUCUUCCAAAUCUCCAAGUUCUUGUUCUCAAAUCUAACAAGUUUUGUGGUCUUAUAAACACGAGUUCUAAGAUUGUACACCCAUUUCCUAGCUUGAGAAUCAUUGAUCUGUCGGACAAUGAGUUUUCAGGUCCACUGCCAGCAAAAUACUUCAGAAACUUCAAGGCUAUAAUGAAUAGUGAUGUAAGCAAAAUAGAUCGUAGUUAUAUGAAUCAUAGUUUCUAUUACAGUGAUUCCACGGCUCUGGUGAUUAAAGGAGUAGUCAUAGAGUUGGUAAAGAUAUUAACUAUUUUUACAACCAUGGAUGUGUCAAGGAACCAGUUUGAAGGGGAGAUUGUAGAAUCAAUUGGAAAUCUGGUGUCACUUAGAUAUCUCAAUUUAUCACAUAAUCAUCUCAGAGGCCACAUACCACGGUCGAUUGGAAAAUUGACUGUGCUGGAGUCACUAGACCUCUCAUCCAAUGAACUUGAAGGAGAAAUUCCUCCGCAACUCACUGGUUUAUAUUCACUUGCAGUUCUAAAUCUUUCUUGCAACCAACUUAGAGGCCGUAUACCAGAAGGGUCACAAUUCAAUACGUUUGAAAUCUACAGCUACGCCGGGAACUUUGAAUUGUGUGGAAAACCCUUGUCAAAAAAGUGUGAAAAUUAUGUGAGGGUACACAAAGAAGACGAAGAAGAUGAGGAUGAAUAUUACUUUUUCAGUGGUUUUACAUGGGAAGCGGUGGUGAUUGGAUAUGGGUUUGGAGUGGUGCCUGCAUUUAUCGCCGGGUACUUGAUGUUGCUGGCACGGAAACCAAAAUGGUUUGCUGGAAUCAUUGGCAGGGAAUUGGGCCUCAAGAUCAGGAGGAUGGAGAUUAGAAUGCGAUAACUACAGGUUUGGUGUAAUCUGUAUCCCAUUCCCAGGUCUUGAAAAUUCUGUAAUAAUAUAGUAAUAUCUGCUCUCAUAUAAUUCUAUAUUUGCAGAUUCAGAUGGGACAAGCAGGAUUCAGAUGCAUUGCAUUGGAUUCAGAUGGGACAAGCAGGAUACAAGUUAUGUAGUAUUGUUUUGUUCCAGCUCUUAUCUGAUCUGCAAUCAAGUUAAUGAACCACUACCUCAGUUGUUAAGCAUCUUUCAGCAUUUUAAUUUUACAACUCACAAUAAAAGAUUACAUGUGUAUUAAUCUGAUCAUCAUUGGUUUAGAUCAAUAUAGAAGUUCGGCUUUGUUUAUUUCUAUCCCGGGCUCCUCAUUUUUAGAACAUAUUUGUUGAUACUUUUUAUGGAACGGUUAAGAAUAUUCCAUAGAUUUUUAUAUUCAGUGCUAGAUGAUUUUAUGUCCUGUUUUCAUUCCAAUUUCCGUUCAUGAACUAAUUAAAAAUCUGAAAGUGGGUCAUAUCUGGCAGUGAUGCCCACCUUUCUGGACCUGAAUUUCAUGACCACACAAACUCCAAUUCUGCCCAAAAAUUGCAGCUGUUUCGUAAAAUAUUUUUACGUGCUCUUUUGUUUGGACUUGUUUGCUGGACCAUGCAUAUGUUUUGAUACAAACAUCUUCGUGUAUGUUAACACUCUUGUGUCAGUUUCUGGACUCAUUGUUAGUAGCCCAUUCUUUACGGCAGACAUUGAAUUGGAUUUACUUGAAGAAAUGAAGGUUUAAGAAAGUUGAGAACAAUUUGUUGAUAAUUUCCUUCCCUAGAAACUGCACUCCAGCAUCAAAGUACCUUUCAAAGACUCCAGACAUCAUCUCUUGAUUAUCGAAGACUUGGUCUUGCAUAUACUGAUAUACAGUGAAUAUAGAUUUCUUUCAUUUCCUUGAAAUUGCAUUUUUGGAAGUAGCUCUCCAGACUCAUUCCCGUCACUUCUUAAAGUCUUAUUCCUCCUCAAUACUACAUACACGUAAUAUCACACCACUUUGCUCAUGCUCAGAUGGGUUUUUCUUACAAACCACAUAUGUUCACUUCUCAGAGUCUUAGUCCUCGUCAAUGUAUAGAGAUAAUAUCUCACCAUUUGCUAGUGCUACAAAUGGGCUUCUCCUACAACCACACAUAAUCGGAGAAAAGUCUGUCAAGUGUCAAGUGGACUUGAAAGACCCUUGUGCAUGGAUUAUUGUAUGUCAUGAAUGCCUUCUGAUAUCCCUGAAAGUGCAAGCAAGUUAUAAAAGUAGCUGGGCAGACUCUUUCUCAUCAAUACAUUCACAUUUAAAGCGGGCGUUGAUAUGCCUCCCUAAUUUUCUAAUGCCCUAGACGGAAUUCUAUUACAAUCCACAUAUGAUGGGUAGCGAUCAUCAAUUCAAAGAAGAGACUAUCAGCAGCUUGCAGGAAAUGUCCCCUCUGCAUGGAUUAUCGAAGAAAGGAACUUAUACCUAUAAAGAUGUAGAAAACCAAUGGUAAGCAUAACUGCAUAUAAGAUACAAAACUAAAUUUAAUACAAGACUCGUUCUGAGCAUUGGAAAAUAUAAUUCAUCCUGGUCUUCGUCUUCUACUUCUCCAAAUAUGCUUUUAUUGCAGCCAAUGUAUUAGUGAAAAGAAUUAAAUUUAAAUUAAUUGUAGACCGCAAAUAUAAGAUUAGGAGAGUUUCUACAACCCACAAAUUAGUAGACAGACUAAUAUGGUUAGUUGAGACCAUCAAUCUGGAGAAACUGUUUCUACAAUGACCCAUAUGUAUGAAUUAUUGAAGAAAGAAACUUAUACCUACAAUGUAAAGGAAAUGGUCACGAGUAUAUUGCAUUUUUAAUCCAAAUUGUAUAUGAUUCUCUCUGUGCUACUGAUAGUUAAUAAUAAAUCUACAACGGAACUUGCAGUUAAUCAAGGUAUUUAAGUCUACCUUUCUACAUUGUUGAAUAGUUUGAAUUAAAUAAUUGUAAUAAAUUUUUUGCUGGAUGCUGUGUGAGUUUACCAGAGCUUAUCACGGUGAGAAGUUCACUAAAGCUCUUGGAAUUAGUAAAUAAAAACUCAGGGCAGUGAAUUAGAAGUCUGAGUACAAGGCAAUGAGCAGGAAACAACAUAGGGAGUUUACAACUAGAAGUAUCUAUUCUCCCCCAGUCUUUUUGUGAACAUCAAGAGGCCAUUCAUAUUGCUCACAAACCAGUUAAAAGUGGCAGGACUACACAUAAUGAAUCACACAGUCACUUUAUGUGAGAAAAGAAAAUUGUCAGGACUGCAAUGCAUUUCUAGCCCAUUUUGUACAGCAGCUCAAACGUUUAAAAAACUUCAUUAAUUAUUUUCUUUUAUUGAAACCACACUCAUCCAUCAAAGUAGCUCUCAAAGUCUAAUUUCCAUCACCUUCUGAUUCUCAAAGUCUUCUUCUUCGUCUUAUAUUGCACGCCACAUAUUAGUAGACAUACUACAUCAACUCUGUAGAAAGAAACAAUCUAUAGUAGUUGAUGUACAAUGUUAUUAUGUAAAUGUAUAAUAUCAAAAUUAGGAAUAGAAAUCACGCCCUAAUAAUUAACCCUCUGCAGGGGUUAUUAAAGAAAGCAGCUUAUAACUUUAGUUGCUGAACAUUUGUGUGGGCCAAAUUCAAUUUUACACAUCAUUACUAGAUUUACACAUGGUAUUAGACAUCAGUACUAGUAUAAGAUGUUAAUCAAGUUUUGGAAUUUCUUUUAUUUCAGAAAACAAGUUUUUAACUCUCUUUUUUUUUUGUGGUAUUAAUUAUUUAUAUCACGCAUUUGAGCUUUAAAAUUAGCUCUAAAUAAAAGUUGAUUUUCGCUCAAAGAAACAAUGAUGUAUAAGAAGAUUUUCAGAACUGAAUUAUUUCUUUCCAUUUUUACAGUUCCAUUCAAGAACCGAAAGCAGCUCACAAAGACUCACUACAUCAUCUUUCAAUUCUCAUAGUGUUGGUCUUUGUCUUCUGCUGCUCAAAAAUUCUAUUACAGCCCACAUAUCAGUAUCAUAUACCUAAUUAUAAAUAGUAUUUAACACUUAACACCAUUAAAGAUUUGUCUCAGAGACUUACUUCCAUCACCUUAUGGUUCUCAAACUCUUCGUCUUCUAAUGCUCCAAAAGUUCUAUUAGUGCAGGCCACAUAUUGGUAAACAGACUACAAUUCAUCCAAAAUGACCCUCUUAUUGGACACUUUGAACACCUCUGUCUGUAUAUGCAUUGGAGAAGAAUUAUCAGCUCGUUAAAAUAACCUCUUCGCAUCAACUCUAUGGAAAGAAGCAAUUCAUACCUAAAGUACAAUGUUUGGAUAAAAUUAGGGAUAGCAACCGCACGCUAAUUUUUUAGUUGAAGCAGGCUACCUUAGUGUAAUUAACUGAACAUCCCCGUAAUUUCUUGACAGGCCACAAUUAAGGAAGUUUACAGAAUUACAUUCCAGAAGUAGCUCCCUGAGACAGAUUCGCAUCAUCUUUCAAUCUUCAAAGUUCUUUAUACUUAUAUUAUAUUUCAUGUUUUAUUGUAAUGAACAUAGCAGUUUCCUGUUCAGUAAUAUUCCAGGCUCAGGUUCUUCAUUCCAAGUCUCUGUUACAUGUUUGCUACUAAAACGUAUUAAACAGUUAUUAGUUUAUGACUGUAUUCCAUCUUGAAAGGAGAUCUCAAAGACUCAUUCCCAUAAUCUUCAGAAUCUCAAGUCUUGAUGAACUUGGCCUUCAUCAUAUUUGUACUCUUGUAAUUCCAUAUUAAUCAAGUUUAAAUAUUAAAAUUUUUAAUUUUAGUAAAUUUGUAAAAAUAGUAAAAUUUGUCUUAUUUAUAAUAUUUAUAAAUCUCUUACUUUCCUGUUACUGUAUUCAACUUAAUAAUUUUUACAAACACUGUGCAUCACAUAAGUUAUGUAAAUUUAGAACAAAUUAUGUCCAAUUUAUUUAAGAGAGAUUGUUAUAUUGUUUUUACUUUAAAAUUAAUGGUAUCUUUUAUUUUUAAUAUAAUUUACAGCUAAAAAUAUUUGAUAUAUUUUCACACUGCUUCUUAUUUUUGUAAUAUGACUAAACAUAUCUUAAAUACACUUUUUUCCUAUAUAUAUGCUAGCCUCUCGAGAUGUUGAAUAGAUCAUCCCAAACAAAAAAAUUUAAGGGAAAUAGAAAAUGAGGAAUUCCAUCCUCUGUUUUUCCACCAUCAGUUUGUUGCUCAUCUUCCUGCAGUUGCAGCACAACCUAGUGGCUUCUUCAUUAAGUCCCCACUUGCAGAAACUUGCCUUGUUCCACUUUAACCAAACCUUAACAAUCAGUACUACUAGCUGGGAUUGCGAGUACUAUUCCUACGAUGGAUAUUACGAAAUUCCUUCACGGGCAAAGACAAAGAAUUGGAGCAUGAGUUCCGAUCACUGCACAUGGGAGGGAGUUAGCUGCGACGACAAGACAGGGGACGUUAUCGGACUGGAUUUAAGUUGCAGUCAGCUGGAAGGAGCCAUUCUUUCUAACAGCACCCUCUUCCAGCUCUCUCAACUCCGCUUCCUCAAUCUUUCUCACAACGGCUUUUACAAUCAGUUCCCUCAGGAAUUUGGUUUCUUUGCAAAAGGUUUGACGCAUCUCAAUCUCUCUCGUACUGGAUUAUCAGGGAGAGUUCCCUCUGGAAUCUCUCAUUUGUAUAAACUGGUCUCACUUGAUCUCGGUCGCAACUAUAGGGCUUGGGCUAAACUUGAAGAAGAAGUGUUUAAAUCACUGUUGCAGAAUUUAACUCAUCUUGAAGUGCUUAAUCUUGAAGGGGUUAGCAUCUCCUCUGUUUUGCCCCUGAAUAUCUCUACUUCUUUAAGAUUUCUUGCUCUUGCGGGAACUGAAAUACACGGAGUAGUACCUCAAGAGGUUUUCCACCUUCCCAACUUGGAAUUUCUUCGUUUAUCAUAUAAUGACCACCUGAGAGUAACAUUACCCAAAGUUAAGUGGGGAAGUAGUGCUACUCUCCAACACCUUCAACUUUCAGGCGUCAACAUAGAUGGAGGUAUGCCUGACUCAAUAGGCUUUUUGGAGUCAUUAGUCAGUUUACAUCUGAUCCAGUGUAAUUUGUCUGGGCCGAUACCAAAAUUCAUUGGGCAACUCGUUCAACUUACUCACUUGGGCCUGGCUGCUAAUAAUCUCAGUGGCCCAAUUCUAACUUUUUUAACACGCCUUGCAGACUUCAGAUCUAUCUUCCCUUGAGCAUAACAAUUUUACUGGUCCGUUUCCCUCUUUUCUUGCCCACUCCAGUAAACUAGUUGAGUUGUAUCUUCAUAAUAAUAGCUUUACUGGAUCCCUACCUCGUUCGUUGUUUCACCAUCCAUCCUUAGAGAUCUUGAAUCUGGCAUAUAAUGCAUUCACGGGUCCACUACAUGAAUUUCAUUCUUCUUUGUCACGAUUGCGAUCUUUUUAUUGUUCCAGCAAUUUACUCAAUGGAUCCAUUCCACAUUCAUUUUCUCAACUUGUGAAUCUCACUGAACUAGAUCUUUCAUCAAACAAUUUCACCGGGGUUUUGGAUUUGGAAAUGUUUUCAGGCCUCAAAUCUCUAGGAAUUCUUCAUCUUUCUUAUAAUAGUCUUUCAGUGAGAACUACAACUAUGGCCACUCUCCCUCCUACGCUUAACGACUUGGCCUUGUCAUCUUGCAACAUGAAAGAGUUUCCUCACUUUUCAAGAGAUGCAAACAUCUUCCUCGAUUUUGUAGACCUAUCAAACAACAAAAUUGAAGGGGAAAUUCCACACUGGAUUGGGUCGGUGGGGAGGUACCCUUUCUAUCCAAUCCAUUAUCUGAAUCUUUCUCACAACGGACUAAUAUGCGGUCUUGAGCAACUGCCUUGGAGUCAUGUUGAAUUUCUUGAUCUCCAAUACAAUAAGCUGAAUGGAUCAUUGCCCACCUUGAUGUGUAAUUCCAGCUCUCUCCGGGUUCUAAAUCUCUCUCACAACAAGUUGAGUGGUGUACUCCCCAUUUGCCAUACAAAUUUGACUUCGCUUCGCGUGUUGGAUCUGCGGAGGAAUAAAAUUCAAGGAAACAUUCCAGCAACCUUGUCAAAUUUCCGUAACCUGGAAACUGUUAAUUUGAAUGGAAACCGAUUAGAAGGAAGCAUUCCUUCUUCUUUUGCUGGAUUUGAUUCUUUAGCCGUUCUUGAUCUUGGAAAUAAUCAGAUAAAUGAUACAUUCCCCCAGUGUUUGGAAGCUCUUCCCAAUCUCCAAGUUCUUGUUCUCAAAUCAAACAAGUUUUAUGGUCUUAUAAACACGAGUUCGAAGAUUGUACACCCAUUUCCAAGCUUGAGAAUCAUUGAUCUGUCGAAAAAUGAGUUUUCAGGUCCACUGCCAGCAAAAUACUUCAGAAACUUCAAGGCUAUGAUGGAUAGUGAUGUAAGCAAAAUAGAUCGUAGUUAUAUGAAUUAUGGUUCCUAUUACAGUGAUUCCACGACUCUGGUGAUUAAAGGAGUAGACAUGGAGUUGGUAAAGAUAUUAACUAUUUUUACAACCAUGGAUGUAUCAAGGAACCAUUUUGAAGGGGAGAUUGUAGAAUCAAUCGGAAAUCUAGUGUCACUUAGAGAUCUCAAUUUAUCUUACAAUCAUCUCACAGGCCACAUACCACGCUCGAUUGGAAAAUUGACUGUGUUGGAGUCACUAGACCUCUCAUCCAAUGAACUUGAAGGAGAAAUUCCUUCGCAACUCACUGGUUUAUAUUCACUUGCAGUUCUAAAUCUGUCUUGCAACCAACUCAGCGGUCAUAUUCCACAAGGUUCUCAGUUUAAUACAUUUGAUGCUGAUAGCUAUGGUGGUAACUUCGGGCUGUGUGGAAAUCCAUUGUCCAAAACGUGUGAACAAGAUAUUGUGGAGCAAGAAGACGAAGAAGAUGAGGAUGAAUGUCACUUUUUCUGUGGUUUUACUUGGGAAGCGGUGGUGAUUGGAUAUGGGUGUGGAGUAGUGCCUGCAUUUAUCAGUGGGUACCUGAUGUUGCUGGCACGGAAACCAAAAUGGUUUGCUGGAAUCAUUGGCAGGGAAUUGGGGCUCAAGAUCAGGAGGAUGGAAAUUAGAAUGCGAUACUAAAGGUUUGCUGUAAUCUGUAUCACAUUCCCAGGUCUUGAAUAUUCUGUAAUAAUAUAGUAAUAUCUGC